Molecule: long non-coding RNA, 73531 nt
Filed under: Hordeum vulgare
Lineage: Eukaryota; Viridiplantae; Streptophyta; Magnoliopsida; Poales; Poaceae
Description: long non-coding RNA (HVUL_LNC000352)
Source: RNAcentral
UUUUUUUUGCUAUUCACGAGGGAGCAUGUGUGCAAAUGUGAUGAUCAUCAAGGAGAUUAGGAGUAUGAGAAGAAGCUAGGAGAUAUAGUCUUUUGUUAUGAAAAGAAGAUGAUAAUCUAGAUACCCAUAAUAUUGCUAGAAAUCCUCUUGAAUUAGUACCGGGCUGCCACGUCCAUGGUUUGCAUACCCCGGGCUAUGUAUUUUUUUAUUAUGGGUGAAUAAAUGAGCUAGGGUGUUUAUCUGAAAGAGGCUACAAAAAUUAGAGCUUAUAUACUAGCCUAUGUAGAACUUUAAGGGGGCAACAAAAUAGUACACUUACUUUGUUAGUUAAAUAAAGACUUAAAAGUAUAUCAUAUGGAGCUGGGUACCUAUAUUAUAUUUUUUCCAUUUCAAUAAUGCAACAUGAUCAUCAAUGCAUGUGUUUGCAGGACAAUGAAUCUUCCAUUUAUGCAUUGGUCAAUGGAAUAGAUACUGUCUUACUGAUAUGCAUGCCUGUUCUUUACUGUAACCAAGGCAACAUUAAUAUUUCUUUAUCACCGGAAAUCUUUGAUUCAUUAAUUGAUCCCGGUUCAACUUUCUAUCUCAUUUCUGUGGCGAGCCAUGUUCUCACUCGUUGGCUCCUUAAUUCGUGAGAAUAUGGAAUUUUCUUAGCCGUGUGUAGCUUAGCGAUGUAAAAGGCAUGUCUACUGCAAGCAUUUGACUACGAUGACAUAUUUGGCCAAGCCGCUCCCCAUCUCGGAAUGGGUGUCCGUUUGUUUCAAUCCAUCGUGGGAUCAAGCCAAUGCAACUAUACAAAAAGUCGGACUAUGCGUAGUGCGAUGCAUAUUUGCAUGCUAUAUCGGACACAUGAAGUCCCACUGGUUAUUUUUCCCAACCCCAAAAAUAGUCGAUAAAUUAAAUAAUUUUCCAUGAAAGCAUGGUCAGUCCGUUUGAGGUCGCAAUGUGAUAGAUUACUUGUUUAUCUGAAGCAGAGUUCAAAUUUUUUUCCGGAAGAAAAUAGAGUUUAUUAAUGUUCCAGAUUGACACCACUCAAGAUAAAAAUUACUGGUUUGCGAAAAAGAGAUAAAAUUCACUCCAUGGCAAAAAAGAAGUUAAAACUCAAUGCAUUCCAAAUUUAUUAAUACAUGUGAAUUCAAUACAAUACCAAUACAUGAACUUAGGACAGCGACGAAAUUCAUCAAGGACGUACAAACUACAAACAUGCAAUAUAUCGAUCCAUAUUUCUUUUCCACCUCUUUAUUAACCUCUUACAUACUAUUAGGGUCUUCGGUAUAUGUAUUAUAUCAUAGACAAAGCACACGAAAUGAUGUCCAGAUCAUUCUUCUUCUUCAUCAAUUCACACAAGAGGUUUAAAUUGUAUAUGUGAAUCCGGAAUUCAUGGCUUUGUAGCAAUGCUGCCUAACAAAUUAAAAUUUCAGCGUGUCAGCUUUCUGCGGAGCCACGCACACAAUAUAUAUGCAGAUGAGCAAUUAUAGUUCAUAUACCUGGGUUGGCUGGCUUUGCAUGUUUCCUGCUUGGUGCAGGCGUCGGCAGUGCGGCAGUACUUGAUGCUUUAGCUUUAGCUUCUGCACACAUGCGAAAUCACAAGAGAUCUAUAAAUUUAGAGAAACUCGUUGAUUAUUGAGAUAUCUUGAUUAUUUGAUCAUGUAAAGAAAAUGUGCGGCUUUGGGAGUCAGGGAAAGAAAGCUAGUUCAAAAAGGUGCCCGACGUCGACGAUGUUGCACACGAUCGUCGAGUACGUGUAGCUCUUGCUUCGAGACUAAUAGAAAGCUCGAGUGCUGGGACUACUAACCAGAAGAAGAUGCCGCUGGCUGCACAUGUGGGUUUCCUGCACGGUAAUAUCAAUCACUCAAACAGUAGUUGCACACGGAUAUGAGGUAAUUAAUCAGUUUUCAAUGUAACAUGGGGCUAAAUUUGCAGAGGCUAGCGAUGCCGAUAGCAUACACUAGGAUCAGAACCUUUACUCCCGGUCGCAGAAUAAGUUUUCAGUUCAGGCUCACUUUUACUCAUCGCUGCAUGGAAAAUAAAAAGAUACACAAUUUAUUUUACUUGGUUAAUGAAUGUGACUAUGAAACUGGAGGUUAAUUUUAGCUCACUUUUUGCCUUGCUCACUUUUCGCUCCAUGCUGUUUGGAGUUGGAGAGGCCUUGCUUCGUAACUGGGCGUCUUCAGCAAGUUUGAGCUGUUGAUGGCCAAAUGGCUGGGAAAAGUUCGCCUCUUAUAGGCCUAUACGGAUUGCGAACCCGUAGAAAUUGCAUGUAACUAGGAUGAUCAUGACAUCUCUCAAAGAAAAAUUGUAUAUUCCACUCUAUUUAGAGAAAUUAAUUGCACUGAUGUAUACAUGCUGGUGGGUGCCAAUGCCAUUGAAUCUUUUAAUUUGACCCAGUUAGAUUUGCAAGGAUUUUCGCAGUCAAGAAAUAUAUACCGCGUACGCAUCCUGGAAAAUACAUAGAAUAGACGAAUAUUUAUUUGAAAAAGUACUAAGACAUUUCCCCCCUUUCAAUAAUGCACCUUAUAUUGUUCAGUUGCGUGACAAACCAAGAGGGGAAUGUACUAUUUUCCCUCACACAUGGAUGUGAUCCUCUUGUCCAUGGUUCAGGAUAACAAAUAUCCACAUAUUUCACAUGAAAAGAAGAUACCUUUCCAAACUGAAGGAAAAUGUACUAUUGGAUUUUCUAGUUUAAGACAGUAGAAACUGCGUUUUCGUUAUUUAGGAAAACCAUGUAUUUCUCAAGGUGUGAACAUAUAUAAUAUCCUGCAAUAGGGGCCUGAUUGUAGCAGAUGCCAUUUCUUGGUUAUAUAUUUUAGUAUAAUUUUAAUCAUUCCACAAAUUUAGGAGCAUGCAAUCAUUAACUGUUACAGAUAACACUAAGAUAUAAUCCAUCGUAUAAUAUGUUUUUAAUCUAAAUGACCGUGGUGACCUACCUAAUGCUCUGAGAUGGGUGUUACGUCACCCACCGGCAGAUCGUAGCCUCCUUUGUACCCACCCACCGACUGAGGGGUAGCUCCUUAAAUAUGAGUACAACGAUAUCCAACCUUUCUUCUUAAACUUGAGAAUUCUAUCAAAAGCACAUGUCAUGGUUUAGAAACACAUAUAGCUAAGAUGUACAUAAAACAUAUAAAUAACUAAUAGAUCCAGUGCAAUGAGGUCGCCCCCCUCAAAGCCUGUUGGAAUGAAACAUGAACUUUUUUUAUUAAUUCUAUGAGAGCUGAAACUGAAUAUAUAUACGAUUUAUUGUAUAUCUACAAAAUAUUUAUUUAGUACUUUCUCCGUCCCAUAAUAUAAGAACGGUUAUAAACACUGCACUAGGUGUCACCUAUUUUAUUAUCGAGUAAAGUAAAUUAUGAAUGUUAGGAUUUUAGGCUUACAACAAAAUGCCUCACACUUUGUCCAAUUUACAUAGUGAGUUUUGAUCUAGUGGGCUAUUUUGUUUGGGAAAAUUUUGGUUUUGUCACUCUAGUUUUUGCCAAAUUUUCUUAUGCCACUCUAGACUUUGAGAUUUUACUUUUGUCAUUCUUAGCUUUUGACAAUUAUCACAAUUGCCAUUCCAUGAAAACGCAAACUAAUUUUAUUUCACUUUUGUCACUCUUAGCUUUUGACAAUGUAUCAGAAUUAUCACUCUAAUUUUUUUGUUUAUGCCACAAAAUAGCAAUUGUGAUAAUUGUCAAAAGCUAAGAGUGGAAAAAUUAAAUGUCAAAAUAUGGGGUGGCAUAAGGAAAAUUAGCAAAAAUAAAAUUUUACCUUUUCUGUUUCAGUACUUUCUCCAACAUGGGCCUGCUUCUCAAAACACAUGGACCUCCCACGUUCAUAACGUCGACGUCCCCAAUGACAAAUUGCAUGAUUGCUUGUCUCCCUAUCCUGCUGCCACCUCCGCUAUGGUAUCCUGCCGAUGCACAUACUGGUAACAUUGUGCACAAUGCCGGUGCAGCAGGGCUUCAAGCAGGCAAAAAUUGCAACCCUAGUCUAGGAUUACAGCCUACUUGGCCGCUCGUCAUGACCACUUCACCAACAUCACCCUCGACGUCUUGUUCUCGGUUUUCGCUACCUAGCUCAUAUGCCUCUCCACAACUUCUACGCAGGCCGGUGACCAAUCCCAUCACCCUCCUCAAAGCUCCAACUCCAGUCCAUGGCAUCUAAUAGAUGCAAACCGUGUCUUGAUCUUUCAAAGAGAAAUACACGUCGAUUUGGAUGGAUUUGACUAUGGCGAUCGGACUAUUACAUGUGACGAAGUUGUGCAUAUGCAAUCACUAAACUAAUUCCACCGUUUUUAUUGACCAGGUAGGAGCAUGAUCAACAAGACCAUGAAGGUUUAAUUUCUAGAAGCAAUUGAAAACUAAAAAGAUAUAAUAUAUAAUCUGGAUAUUGCGAAUAUAGAUAAAAAUUAGGCAUCCUUGCUUGGAUUAGGCAUAAACGAAGUUCAAGAAGUUGCAUCUAUGUUGACUCUUUAAUAAACAGAACUCAUAAAAAAUAAAGCACUAUGGGCGAAAUUUAUGGUCCGACAAAUGGAAAAUUCGGCUAGUCCCUAGGAGCAGGGCCGAAUCUCACCUUACGUCCGGUUUCUUCACUAAUAUAUAGAUGAUAAAAACUGCCUAUGGUCAUGUAUUUCAAAAAUAUAUGGGUCUGCAUCAAAAGCAAAGUGAUGCAAACCCUAGAGAAAUUUCAUUCGAUGGCCGAAUCCAAAUAUUUUUUUAGCAAAUAAUACAUGUUUCAUUAGUCAAAAUGUGAACUCCAAAAAGCCCGCACCCAACUUAAAAAACGUAUGGAUGCAGUACAAAUGUGUAGAAUAUUUAUUUAAAAAUUGACACACUAUAUAUAAACAUUGAACACAGCCUUCUGCUAAUGUCUUUUUUCUUUUUGAAAUUUACUGCAAAUGUCUUGCCACUACCUCGAAAUCCGUAAACUCCCUUUCUAUAUAUUUGCUGCCUUAGAAGACGAGAAGGUGUAUGAUCAGCAGAACGUUCCCUAGAGUGCAAGUGGCCGAGGACUCCAUAAUUAGUUGCAUACAUGUGACUUUUGCUAGUUAUUAUUACCGUUCGUUUUUUCGUUUGUGUAAUGUGACACAACCAAAUCAAUAGAUGUUUUGUCGGACAGUGAACCACCCACUUGACAAACAGUCAAUGGAAUAGAUACCGAUUGCCUCCCUUUCUACUGUAAUCAAGGCAAUGAUAAUAGAUUUCCCCAUCAUUGGCAAUCUUUGUCUCAUUAAUUGAUCUUGGUUGAACUUUCUAACUCGUUUUUGUGGUGAGCUAGCUGUGAUUUCACUCGCUGACUCCUUAUUUCGCGGCUGCGCAUACGUACACACGGAGAUUAUUUUUUUUAAAAUGGAAGCAAAAGUUUUUCCUCAUCCAUUAGAGAAUAGAAGAAAAUCGGACAAAAACAAUUACAAACCGCUGAGCAGCACACACUGGAUAUCCCACACAUACUUUGCGACAAGGGCAUCAUCAAGACAACACGCAGGCGCAGGGGCGGAGACAGGACCCCGAGCUCCCAGGGCCUGGGCCUGGGUAAAGAGGCCCAUCUUCUUUCUUGAGUGUAGCAAAUAUUAACGGCAUGAGACCAAAAUUCAGGAUAUUUUUGAAGGCAGCCCCGGGUUUGCUGUUUGCCUCGCUCCGCCCCUGCGCAGGUGUCAUCAUCAUCACUUCUUCCCUAGUAGGCCUCACCGCCAACCCUAAAACAUUGAGCAAACGGCUCCGACUUCACCAUAGAUGAUCAUAGACCCCACCCACACUGAAGAGGCAAGUGGAGCCACAUGAAGACCCAUGCCAGAACUCAGUCACCCGCGACAAGACAGCGCAACUCCAAUUCUGACCAAGAACUACGAAGGAGAGCUAGACAAGGUUGGCAGCGUGGAUGAUCACUGAACGGACCACCCGUCACCCAUCAUCGUAUACCAUCGGGCCCUACCACAUAAGCUUCGACUUCACUGCAACAAAUAGUCGAGGCAAUCACACAGACACGACGGAGAAGAGCCGACUACCUCAACAGACGCCACAUCUCCGACCUUGCUCACCACCAAUAAUGUUGGUAGUGAAACCUCAAUGCAAACACCGACGCCAUCCACUAUCCCCGCAUGUCUAUGCCCAGCUUCAAAGAUGAAGCCCGCUAGAGGGAAAACGACACCAAGGCGUCGCAAUCGUCCCAUCACCUGGGAUAAGGGCCCCCCCCCCCCGAGCUGCACCGUCGACUAGAUCCAUGCGAGAGGGGUGCAACAACUAAGUAGCAAUGCCUCCAAGAAGCUCAACAACAACUGCAGCCACCUCCAUCGCUACUCACGUCACAAGGCCGAGACAUGGUUCUCACCUGAUUUUUUACAUUAACAAGAGUACGUGAAAACCUAUUAACAAAGGAUCUAGUUCCAAAAAUCUCGACACGAGAAAUCAAAGAGUGAAAAUGAUUCGGUAUUUCGACCCAUGGUUCAAAAGAUGAAACCUUUUGAUAAACGAAUCUACGCAAAAGAAAAACUCCUAGGUUACUAGUGCCCCACUUGUCAGCGCAUGAAAAGUUGGAGAGUGACCUUUGCAAAGGAUAAUUCUUAACUAGUGAUUUCGUUGGUUCAUCGAUUGUAAUUCUCUUACUUUUUUGUCCAUUUUUCCUAUUGUUUAUUUUUUUCGUUUUUAUUUAUAUAUUCAUAUUUUUUGUUUUGGCUUUAUCUUUUGUUCUUUGUGUUCUUUUCUUUCCUUUUUGGUGUUUUCAUUCUUCUUUGGCUUUCGCUUUCAUGAAUAAUCCAUGCAUAAUUUUUAAAACAUAUGCAUACUUUUUCAAAAUACGCAAUCACUUUUCAAAUUAAAUGAAUAUCUGUGCAUUGCAUGGUCAUUUUGAACAUAUGCAUACUUUUUUAAAAUACACAAUCACUUUUCAAAUUAAAUGAAUAUAUGUGCAUUGCAUGGUCAUUUGGAAAAUACAUGAUGAAAAAUUAUGAAUACAUGACAUUGGUUUUGGGAAUUACACUAUACACGUUUUAAAAUGCAUGAUGAACAUUUUUGAAAAGAUAAGAACAACUUUAAAUACACGGACAAUAUUUUAUAUUUCAUACAUUAAAACAUGUUUUAAAUAUAAGAUGGAUAUUUCUGAAUGUAUAAUGGAUAAUUUUAAACCAUGGAAACUAAAUUUUAAUAAAUAAUAAUUAGUUUGAAAUUGUACUAUAAUGUUUUUUAAAUAUAUGCUUUUUAAAUACUAGGUCAAACUUUUAGAAAAUUACGCAUAUAUUCUAAAACAAAUAUUCAACAUUUUUUGCACACAAUAAAUAACCUUUAACACAUGACAAUUUUUGUAAAAUUUUAGAAACAUUUUAAUACAUGAAAAUUUUCUUAUAUUUAGGUAAGUGAAUAUAACUACUCUAUAUAAAAAUGGAAAAUGGAAAAACGCUAGAAAUACUACAUCCUUUUAGAGCUAACAAAACUGUAUAUAGUAUUUUUUAGAGCCAACAAAACUGUACAUACUGUCGUAGAAAAACAGUUCAUAGUGCAGCAUUUUUUUGAGCAAAACUAGCUAGAUUGUGUUGAUCAAUAACAAUGUUUAGAGGAAUGGCAAUUGGAUCAUGAGGAGAUCCCAACCACAUUUGCCUCCCUUGUGGAAGAGAGACACCAAACCUAGCUAGAUUAUGAGUUUCAACAUUAGAAGCUCGAGAUUUGAACGAGAAAUUACAAGUAAUAACAGUUUGUAAAGUUUCUUGUAUCUCUUUGAUAACCUCUCUGUCUUCUCCACCUACACCAUGAUGAAUGCGAUUUACUACCUGUUUGCAGUCUGAUGCCUCAUGAUGAAUGCGAUUUACUACCUGUUUGCAGUCUGAUGCCUCCUGGAUGUGCUGCAUGCCUAGAUCUUGUGCCAAGGCGAGCCCUUCCCUGCAAGCGAGAGCUUCCAAUAUAGCUGGAUUGACAAGCGCCCUUGUAUAACUAGCAACGAAGACACUAGAUAUGUUCCAUCUCGAUAGUGGCAAACAACGAUUGUAGUACCCAUGUUGUAAGCAGUACAUACCCCUGCGUCCAUGUUAAUCUCGACAAAAUCUUCGUUCGGUGCCACCCAUUUCCCGCGCACCAAAUUAGAGACCAUACUUCGAUGGAAGAAAAAACUAGCAAUCAUAUGGCAUGUUGGACCCGCCCACCUAGUUUAGACCGCUGCCAAUAGCUUGCAAGAGGGGAGACAUAGACGUAACCUAUACCUUUGCGCACAUAUAUCUAUAUACUACUCCCUCCUUUCCGGUUUAUAGGGCUCAAAUCUGAAAUCUCAUCAACCAAGGUGAAUUGUAAGUGGAUGGCACUAGUUUAAACUAGCCAAUGAAAUAUUUCUCACAUAUUUAAUUUCCAAGGCAAUAAAUGUACAUCCUUUCUUUCAUUGGACUUGCAUGGUGCAUGUAAAAAACGAUGCAUGCAUAGCCACUCAUCUCCUUUCUCUAAACUCUAUAAAUUAAAUAUGGCGUGAAACUCAAAACACUUUAACUCACUUAGACUCAAAAUGAGCCUAAUAUAACGGCAAUAUGAAAAUUUUAAGAUGAGCCCUAUAAACCGGAAAGGAGGGAGUACUACCUUCGUUCUGGUUUAUUAGUUUCCUCGUAUUUUGGGUUAAAAUUUGACCACAUAUUUAACUAGGAAAUGUUAGUGCAUAUCAUAAAAAUUAUAUAUUAUUGAAUUCUUAUUUGGAUGUCUGUUUCUAAUGAUAUUAUUUUUAUGUAUGACUUAUAUUUGUUAAUUAAAAUCAUGAUUAAAACAUGACCCAAAAUAUGGAGGGGACUAGCUAGUAAACCAGGAUGAAUGUAGUACAUCAUGUUAUAAAACUUUGACCGCCCCAUCUUACACAUAUUUUAUAAUUCAAAAUUUAAACCCUUCCACGCUAUGCAAAUCUCGGUGUAGUACUUAUUAUCGUUUUUUUCCUCGUUUCCAUAAUGUGACAUCAUUGAGUCAUUGCAUGAUUUGUAGCAUAGUGAAUAUUUCAUUUGUGCAUAGCUCAAUCCAUCAAUGGGAUAGAUACUGUCAUAUCGACAUGCAUGCCUCUUUUUUCUACUGAUCGUUGUUUCAUUAAUUGGUCUUGUUGAACUUUCUAACUCAUUUUUGUGGUGAGAUGGCUGUGUUCUCAUUGCGUUGGCUCCUUCAUGAGAAUGUGGAAUCUCCUUUGAGGCAUGUGUAGCUUAGAGGUGUAAAAUUAAAGGCACGCCUACUACACGCAUUUGAUGACGAUGACAUACCCUAUUGGAUUGCUCUUGGCCACCUCAUUCGAUCCAUCUUGGCAUAGCUGGUUUUUGGUGUGUACUCUGGUAUCAGCGUAGGUGUUCGAGUGCCCCGUCGGGUGUCUUGUGAAGUGUGACCUUAUGGCAUGUUGGAUGCUUUGUGUGCUUUAUGCCUAGUCUAUUUAGGCACUGUGCAGGUUUUCGACUGGUUUUCCUCUUAUAAAUCAAGCAGUUUGGGUCAUUGUACCAUAUUUUUCUUCAUAAUGAAUAUUAACAACUCUCCUGUUAUCAUUAAAAAAAUCAAUCGUAACAUCAAGCCAAUACUAGGACGUAGCUCUGUUUAAUAAGAUGCAUAUUUUUAUGCAAUAUUCGACACAUGAAGUUAUGUCAUGCUAUUCCCUAAAAAAUAUUUUAUGUCAUGCUAGUCGCUAAAGUGAACUUUCCACUAUAAUGUGUUCUCCACGCAGAUAUGAUAAAACAGGGUGAAUUAACAGAAGCUUAGAUAGACUUGCACAAUUGCACUAGUAGCAAAUUUUUAGAUAUAGCACUUAUAUGCAACACUUUAAAUAACUAUGGUUGUUAUAGUCCCCACAAAGAAAGUAAAUAACAUUGUUGAGGAAAUCGUUAACCGGUAGUUGUUCUGAUAGAUGCGAAGUUGUCCCUGUCUUUCGAUGAGAUGGUGGCUAUCGUUUUUGGUGGAGUAGACUUUGACGAUCCGACUACGAACGUGCGAAGAUGCCGCGCCUUAGCAAUCGCUAAACCAACUCCGAGAGGUUAUUGACCAUGCCGGAGCACGAUCAACCUGACCAUGAGGGUUUGUUUCCUGCACGCAAACGAAGAACAAGCAAGAAGCUAAAAAUGCAAUCUAGAUAUUGCGAAUAUAAGAGGAAAUCUUUAUUGAUGAAAGUGGAGUUCUGUGACGCCUUGGCCGGUCUUGUCGUAGAACACAAACGAAGGACACAAAGUUACAACUAUGGAGAACUUGUAACUGAAACAAAACACAAGUCUAAAUGGUGCCCAAAGGGCUGUAUAUAUGAGAGAAUAGAGAGGGAUUUUCGUGACCCUUGGAGGAGGAGUCCGAAAAUGACCCUAAACUCGGUUUCCCGACACACACUGACUCUAAAAAUAGCCUAUGUGGUAGUAUUUCGAAAUUACAAGGCCCUGGCCCAAAAAAUAAGGUGACGCAACACCUAUAAUAGCCUCUGGAUGAAAUUUAUGAAGUGACAUCUUGUAUAUUUCAUCCAAGCCUUCAUGCUUUUCUUAUGGUGGCUUCAAAGUCCAAUAAUCACCAGCGGAAGGUCCCUUGUUCUUUCCCGCUUGUGCAUCUUCCCCUUCAUUCUUGAUCCCGCUCCAAUGGCCAUCCUCCUUGUCCAUAUGCCAGGUCCUUCAAUCAUAUGCAAAACAAAAGUAUCUAAUUUAGGCAGCAUCAUAUGUUCAUGAACAUUAGAAGGAUUUUCAAGAAACGAAAGUACCUGAUAAUUCAAUUGACGUGCGCGAGCUCUAGUAACUGGUCCAGUAGGUAUAGCAGGUGUAACAAUGGUAUCAAUGUCCUCAUCAUGUUCGGUUGGUUGGCGACUAGGGAAUUAAUAGGCUAAUCAGCAAGUUAGUCCAAUAAUCAAAUGAUUAAUUAUUUUAUCGGCUAUUCAAUGACCCUACAAGUAUGGAUUAAUCGACAAGUUAACUAAUUAAUUCCAUGAAUUCUUGAACAUGGGUAAAUAAUAUUGUGGUUAUAUGUAGAAAGGUACGAAAGGCCGGAGAACUUUUUUGCAGAUAAUUAAGGAGUUUUAUUUCAUUAUACUGCAUCCAGAACAACCAAAAUUGGCGAAACAAUUAGCCAACCUAUUUUUAAUUGAGGCUACUUUCUAGGACAUAAACUCUCAUUCUCGCAUCAACCUUUUGAUCAAAACAACUAGAUGUCCGUACACCAAGCCAAGGUAUCGUCUCCCAAGGCAAAUAGGGCAACCGAAGAACCAGCAUGAAAGAUAAAUGAGAAUCUAUCCAUUGAAGCGCCAUGUCCAUGCCCUCCGUUAUCAGGUGGAUCUCCACUUCGAGAGCUUCAUUAUCGCUACGAAGUGAAAGCAAUCCUCCAAUCAGAGUUCCAAAGAAUCAUGCCCGACCCCGUGGAGCCAUCUGCUGUGAUGAAAGAGCCACCGACGGAGAGCACGAUAUGGCGCUUGCAUACAUUGUGGAAGGAAUUUCUUGCUGCAUUACUAAGAUAAUUUUUUGUUGUAUAUUCUUCGGUAACUAGCUUGUGUUUACCUUUUUUAUUCAAAUUCAAUAAAUUUAGACAUUUUUUGUGAAAUUUGAAAUACCUUUGAAUGAUUCCAAGUUGUAUUAGUAGGUGUGGCAUUACUCUUAAGAAAGUGAGAUCCAUACCCACUUGCGCAGUCUAGACCCAUCUUUAGAGGAGAAACUGAUGGUCCAAUUACUCAUUUCCACCUGCAUUUGUUUGCCGCCAUCCGUUUCUUGCAGGGAAGGAGAUCAUGGGGGGAGAGAAGCCGAACAAUAAGAGGUAGUAGAGCAGACCUGAUUCUAAGGCUGUCUAACAACGUGCCAUGUUCCAGGUGGGCUUUUCUUUAGGGCAUAUAUUAGCAUAUGUGCCAAUUGGCUGGCAACUUAUAUCUAUAGCAGGCCACAUGCCUAUAUCCCAUGGGCCACGCAUGAAUGGAACAUGCACUAGUAGCGGUUAGUGGAACGGAGAGAUGCCCGAGGGGAAGCACCAGAAGCCAAAGAAUUAGGUAAUGGGCACAGCUAUUUACUGAGGAGACGAAGUGAACUUAUGCAGAACAUAGGCAUAGAGUUAUAUUACGUGGUCAGCGAUUGACCCCAUACAGAUUGGAACCUGACGAGUUGUUUGAUUUCUGUUGAGGUGAAGGCUGCAAGUUGAAUGAACGCCGACGUGACAUCAUGAUGAUUGUAAACAGUCUGCAUGUAGAGAGAAUUGCUAGUAGUGGUGAUCAACUUCUUAAAAAUGUAGGAUUUAGUGUAAACUGCAUGGAAAUAUUACUAGAAAAUGGUACAAAAUAAACUGUACUUAUCAGUCUGAAUAUCCACUCGAGGUGUGAAUGUAAUAUCCCACAAGAGUCUGUUCGUGUGUAAUUUCCUAGGUCUUUCCGCUUAAAUCGGCACAAGUCUUUUGAGGUUUUCCCCCGUAAAGUCUCUUGAGAGUUAAUGUAAUAGCUCUCUAGCUAGCUAAUAAGUCUUGAUAUUCUACAUAAACAGCUACUGGUAUGCAGAUGGUAUACCUGUUAUGGCGGAUUUUUUCUUGAUUUGACUAGCCGAUGUGUAUAUAUAUGGUAGAUUUUUCCUUGAUCGUUCCAAGUUGGAGUAAAAUUUAAGUUCUGAAAGCAUCAAGUCAAGUCAUUUACAUGUAGAAUUUGGACGAUAUACACUUCCUGAUAAUUGAUUGGGCUAUUCGCUAAUUAACUAGUACAAAAUAAUCUUGGUAUUUCGUUCUGAGAAGAAAUGGACAAAUUAAUUCCCAACUGUUUCAACAAUGAAUACCUUUUUCUCGCAAUAGUCAUGGACAACCCAUUACAAUAACUAGAGGAUACCCCACGCGUUGCCGCCGGAAUUGGUUGAUGAAAUUCAGGGUUGAUAAUAUGAAAACUAAAAUUUAAAAUACAUAUUACUUACUACAUUUGAUUAUGUAUGGUUUUAAUAAUAUAUUUAAUAAAUAUAAGUAGAAUAACUAAGUGAGAAGGUAUUUUUCAUACAUGGUUGAAUGUUUAGGUUGGCUACAUUCAGAUUUUUCGCAUGUGUUGGUGCAAAAUUCAAACAUUGUUUUAACUUGCAAGUAAUGCUUUGUUAUAAAAAAAAUGCUUUUUAAGAUCAGACUAGUCGUACAAAAUCAUACCAAAGGUGUUGUAUGCAUCCUUCUUAAUGUACUACUGAUAUGAAUUUCUACCAGAACUUAGUGUGCGUCUCUCUAUUGUGGCCGGGUACAAUUCGGAUAUUGUUCGGUCGUGCUGACGGGAAGUGACAUGUCAAUUAUUUUUUCCAUUACAACACACGGUCAUAUUUGCUAAUUAAAUGCUAACAAAAAAAACAUGUUAGUUAAGCUAGAUUAUGAUAAUACACGCAUGACCAAACACAUCCUCAAACACGACGGCGAAAAGUAUGUUCAGCUGCACAUUUGCUAGUAUGCGGGUCGUCCAUGACUAUAUACAUGUUACUUUUGCUACUUAUUACGGUCCGUUUUCUUCACUCAAUAAUGUGACAUGACCGAGUCUGUGCAUGACAGUGUGAAUUUUCCGUUAUUACAUGGUCAAUGGAAUAGAACAUAUGUGCAUGGCUGUUCUUAUACGGCAAUCAAAACAGUAAUAAGAUAGUUCUACUACUGAGUCACAACGUCCUUGCUUCCGGUAUAAUUAAAGAAGUGACGACAACGUCAGUUCCCAACGGUCAUGCCACGUGGCUUUUUUUUGUCGAGAGUACCUCUCGGCGUAUGCUCCGUUUGUCGUUCGGUGCGUGUUCGCUAUGAACCAUGCACUGCUGGCAAAGGGACGUUGUUGUCGUGAACCAGCGUUUGUCAAGGGUAGCUUUCGGCAUAUAUUUGUUUGUCGAGAGCGAGAGCCAAACAGCCGGCGUAUAUGAAAAGUCCAGUAGUGAGUAGUGGUGAUCAACUUUUUAAAAACGUUGGAUUAGUGAAAACUGCAUGAAAAUAUUACUAGAAAAUGGUACAGAACAAACUGUACUUAUCAGUCUGAAUAUUCACUCGAGGUGUGCAUGUAUGGCCUGUUUGGUCUCAACCAUACUUUAUCAAGUCAAAAUUUAACAGCCAUAGCUUAGUUGGCAUGUGUUUGAUUUUUGCAAUACUUUAUUGUCUCUAUGGCCCAUUUGACAUAGAGUUAAAAUUUCUUGCCAACUUUUAUCAAAGUUUGGCGUUCGUUUUUUCAGCCACUCUUUGUGGCUUGGCACACUUUGAUGGCUUGUCAACUUUGGCUUGACAAAAUUAGUCUUCAACCAAACAGGCUCGUAAUAUCCCACAAGGGUCUGAUAGUGUGUAAUUUCCUAGAUCUUUCCACUUCAAUCUGCACAAGUCUUUGAGGGUUUUCCCCCGUAAAGUCUCUUGAGAGUUAAUGUAAUAGCUCUCUAGCUAGCUACUAGGCCUUGAUAUUCUACAUAAACAGCUACUGGUAUGCAGAUGGUAUACCUGUCAUGGCGGAUUAUUUCGUGAUUUGACUAGCCGAUGUGUAUAUAUAUGGUAGAUUAUUCCUUGAUCGUUCCAAGUUGGAGUAAAAUUUAAUUUCUGAAAGCAUCAAGUCAAGUCAUUUACAUGUAGAAUUUGGAGGAUAUACAUUUCCUGACAAUUGAUUGGGCUAUUCGCUAAUUAACGAGUACAAAAUAAUCUUGGCCAAACGCAUCCUUAAGCACGACGGCGAAAAGUAUGUUCAGCUGCACAUUAGCUAGUAUGCGGGUGGUCCAUGACUAUAUACAUGUUACUUUUGCUACUUAUUACGGUCCGUUUUCUCCAUUCAAUAAUGUGACAUGAUCGGGUCGAUCAUCGCAUGACAGUGUGAAUCAUCCGUUAUUCCGUGGUCAAUGGAAUAGGACAUAUGUGCAUGGCUGUUCUUAUACGGCAAUCAAGACAACAAUAAGAUAGUUCUAUUACUGAGAAUCUUCAUUUCAUUGAUUGAUCUUGGUUGAACUUUUCUAACGAAUUUUUGUGGUUCAUCAUGCCAGUUCGCUACUCAGUGGCUGUUAAUACACGCAGACAAAUGGAUACUCUCUAGUCUCCAACUGUACGUGCGAACAUGGAAUUUCGUCUUACAGACAUCUAUACUUUGCCGUGGGUUACUUGUUGGCUUUUGAACAACUCUAGAUCAACUCACCAGAGAGCAGCGGCACACGCUAGUUCAAAGCUAGCAAGCUGAUAGGCUAAUAGCUGGAUGGAUCCUUUCACUACGUAGGAUUAGUACAUGCAUAGACGUACGUAGCAGCACGCCGGCACGCCUCCGGCAAGACGCACGCACACGAGAACACGAGCACACGCGAUUGGAUUGCCGUAGGCACGAUGUCUCGUGCCUGUUAAACUUUGUAUUGCUUUUCUUUUUUUGGUGUUACAAGCACCACCCCUAAGGUGCUUUUUAUACACAUCCAUAAGGGACUAUGAAAAUAGACUAGGAUAUCCAAAUACUAUUAGGACUCGAUUUAGCUUUUUUCCUAAUCCUAUGCGUACAGGGCAACGUGAUUAACUCACAUUCAUCCCCUAAUCACGAUGUCCUUAUUUAUGACCUGGGUCCCAAACACGAUUGUUGCUUCUCAUAACUGUUAUCAUCGGUAUGGCCUUUGCCGUCCCUUGCAGCAUUUCAUGGACUAUCUUUACUAUCGUCGGCUCGUCCGUAGCUUUAUGACAACACUCCUUUUUAGUCGUGUCUUCAAUCUUUACCUCUUCUUCGGUGCUUUGUAGACUGUCCUUCGGAUCAUCGAUGGCACAUCUUUUGAACCUGAGCGUGACCAUACUUUGGUCUAACUUUGAAUUCCAAGCUCUUGGCGCUUGCAUCAGCCCGUAAAGUGCCUUCUUGAGCUUGUCAACUUCCGUUUGUUCGUUUUUCUUCUCGUACCUGAGGGGUUGUUCUACAUACACUUCUUCUGUGAGAUCGCCGUUGAGGAAAGCGGAUUUAACAUCCAUAUGAUGAACCUUCCAAUCCUCUUGUGCUGCCAAAGCUAGGAGCACUCUCACCGUCUCGAGUCGAGCAACCGAUGCAAACACCUCAUCAUAGUCAACUCCUUGACGUUGUACAUACCCCUUUGCAACGAGUCUUGCCUUGUACUUCACAAUGGCACCCUUCGUGUCCUUCUUUAACUUGUAAACUCACUUCAAACCUAUCGCGUUUUGGUUUGGAGGUCGGGUUACCAAAGUCUGCGUGCCAUUGCUCUCAAUCGCCUUCAUCUCCUCAUCCAUGACGUGCGUCCAGCUAGGACUUUUGCUCGCCUCUACGAAGUUCGUCGGCUCCUCAACUACGAACAGACAUAGUACGGAGUACUCGAGCGUAACUGGCUUUGUGUACUUGUAGACUUUCUUGAGGGUCUUGUAGCGACGAGGCCCUGAGGAGUCCGUUGUGGCUUGCGAAGGAGGCGACACAAAUUGUGUCUGUGUUGAUGCACUUGAGGAAGACGGCUGAGUCCCAGGUGUGUCAUCGUUAUCCGUGUCGUUGGCGUAGUUGGCAGGACCGUGACCAUCAUCUUGAUUGUCGUCGUUACUAUGCGCCUCAUUGUCGAUGUUGUCGUCAAGAUCUCCGCAUGUGCCGUGCUCGUCGUUGUCACUAUCUCCUUACGACCUAUGCACGUCGUCGUCGGUGUCGGCACCAUGAUGAUCACUACCAUUGUGGUCACCUUGGUUGGGCGUCUUACCAACCACCUGGACAUCCUCCCCUGCAUCAUCAUCAGUUGGAAAUUCAACCGUGAAUAUGUUACUGUUUGGAGCAUCGUCGGUUGCGGCGCUCCAAUUCCACGCUUGGUUUUCUUCAAACACAACGUCGCGUGAAAUCCAUAGACGCUUGGUUUGUGGAUCGUAGAAGCGGUAUGCCUUGGUGCCGGAACUCCUCUCGUAUCCGAUGAACACCAUCUUGGUGCUACGAUCGGCAAGCUCUGAGAGGUGUGGCUUCGCCGUCUUCACAUGUGCCACGCACCCGAACGUCCGUAGAUGAGACACAUUCGGCUUACGUCCGUAAAUUGCUUCAUACGGAUUCUUGCCGAUCACCGCCUUCGUUGGAGCCCGAUUGAGAAGAUAGACUGCCGUCGAGACAACUUCUCCCCAAAAGGUCCCCGCCAGGUUCUUGCUCUUGAGUAAACUCCUUGCCAUGUCAACGACGGUUCGAUUGCGCCUUUCAAUGACCCCGUUAUGUUGUGGCGUAUAAGGUGCCGUGAGGAACCUUUUUAUGCCAACCUUCUCGCAGUAGUCGUUGAACUCGUUCGACGUAAACUCUCCGCCACGAUGUGUCCGUAGAGCGCGAACCUUCAACUUGUGUUCCAUCUCCGUUGCAGCCUUCAGCUUCUUGAACACUUCAAACGCCUCAUCUUUAGAUCGUAGGAGAAUGACCCAAAUAUAUCUCGAGUAGUCAUCUACCACAAGGAAGAAGUACUUCUUUCCUCCCUGAGUUGCCGGGGUGAUAGGGCCACAUAGAUCACCAUGGAGCAGCUCGAGUGCAUCACUUGCACGAUAGGUAGACUCAGCAGGGAACGACAUGCGGUGUUGUUUUCCAACCAAGCACCCGUCACGUACUCGAUCAACAUGGUCGCUAACUGGCAUCCCGGAUACCAUCUCCAUCUUUGACAUCUUCUUCAAGGCAUAGAAGUUAACAUGUCCAAAUCUAGCAUGCCAUAACCAUGAAUCAUCAUCACUCUUGGCGAGCCAACACUCCGGUUGAGAUUGAUCAAGGUUGAGGAUAUAGAGCCUGUUCUGUGUGCGAGUAACACGAGCUAGCACGUUUCGGAGGUUGUCGAAGAUCGUCAUCACUCCGUUCUCGAUAUGCACCUUGCAUCCAUUCUCGUCAAGCUUCCCAAUAGAGAUGAUGUUGUUGCGAAGCCGUGGGAUGUAGUACACUCCGGUGAGUAUGCGAUGUUCGUCUGUGAGACCCUGGAAGAGGACAGAUCCUUGCCCACAAUUCUCCACAUUUGAACCAUCACCAAACUUUACCAAGCCUUCAACAUCAUAUUCCAGCUCGAGAAAUUUCUCCUUGCAUCCCGUCAUGUGGUUACUGGCACCCGUGUCGAGAUACCACGACGCAUUGUGAUCCCCGGAUAACUUAGGUGUCACAUUCUUCUCAUGAAGUAGCACCUUCCGGCUUGGUUUCACACCCACCGUUUCAGCGAGAUCACAAACUUCGGCCAUCAGAAGACCUGGACCUUCGUCUUCCUGCUUUGCCAAAUUUUCCUUGAUCUCCCGCUUGUCAGGCUCCGGACAAUCCUUUCCAGGCGUCCGAUCGCCUCCGUUAUGGUCAUGCCGUCUAUGUCGUAAAGCUGCUCGAGCGUGCCGAUGAUGUACGUGAAUUUGUCAGUCACCGAACUGAAAAUUUUCUCCACAAUCUCGGUCUCCUCGAGAUUUGCACCAAGUGCGCGGAUCUCUCCCACCAAAGUAGUAAGACGCAUGGCGUAGUCGUUCACCGAUUCAGUUUCCUCCAUCUGCAACUUGUGAAAUUGGCGCUUCAGCACUUGUGCCCGAGCCUUGGUGACGCGAUCUUCUCCGAUCCUCAUCUCCUUGAGUGCGUUCCACGCCUCUCAUGCCGUCUUGAACUCCGCCAAUGUCAUUAGCACGGAAUCCGGGACGGACCGGGCUAUGGCGGCCGUGGCACCUUCGUCGGACUCGUCAUCGACGUCGUCGUCCGUGAUUGCCUGCCACACUCGAAGGGUUCGGAGAAUAACAUUCAUCUUCACCGCCCACACGCCAUAGUUGGCGUCGGUGAGCAUCGGGUACUGGAUGGGGAUGUUGCGAUGUGCCUGGAUGUUGGCGCCGCUCGUUCCUCCACCACUCGUUCCUGACUUGCCAUCUUUCUUCACCUUGUCGCCGUUCUUGUUCGUCUUGGGACCGCCUUUGCCGGACUUGACCGACUCAGCGUCGCUGUCCGUCAUCGUAGAUGGUAGAUCGUCUCGUGCCUGUUAAACUUUGUAUUGCUUUUCUUUUUCUUGGUGUUACAAGCAUCACCCCUAAGGUGCUUUUUAUACACAUCCACAAGGGACUAUGGAAAUAGACUAGGACUAGGUAUUCUAAUACUAAUAGGACUCGGUUUGGCUUUUUUCCUAAUCCUAUGUGUACAGGGCAACAUGAUUAACUCACAUUACUUCCCUUCCACCUGUGCUAGAUCACCGCACAACUGUAGCUUGUUCACUCUUUCAUGGUGUUGCUAUUUUUCUUUGGUUUUGCUCCGUUAGCUCUUGAUAAUAGAAUCCGAUCCAUUUUUUUUGGAUCAAAUGGGGAAAAAAGAAGGAAAAACAAAACUCAUAUUCUCUCUUGCGGCCAGCGAGUUGCCACUACAAGGAUCCUUUCCAACUGAAUUCAUGCAUAAUUACAUGAACCCAUUUGGAGUCAGAAUUGGACCUGGCGGUUAUAUAUAGCUGGAUGUGGAGCUCACUGCCAUGCAACUUGCAACAUAUAGUACUCCCUCUGUUUCUAAAUAUAAGUCUUUUUAGAGAUUUCACUAUAAACUACAUAUGGAUGUAUAUAAACAUAUUUUAAAGUAUAGAUUCUUUCAUUUUGCUCUGUAUGUAGUCCAUAGUAAAAUCUUUACAAAGAUUUAUAUUUAGGGACCGAGGGAGUGCCAAACAGAAACGGAGCACGUAUGGUGUAAUUAUGCAUAAACAGACCAUGAAAAGUUGCUAUAGAUACAUAACUGUGAACUAGCAAAAAAAAUGCAUGAUAACACAUGUUUCAUUCAUCUAAGAAAGGACAAGGUACAAGUCACAUAAACAUGGCUUGACAAAACUGAAAAGAUAGCAGAACGCUAAUCUUUGCAUAAGGACCGCCGGUCAAGAAAGAAAACUAAAAUUAAAAUUGAUGAAUCCCCUCGGCAUGACUUUAAUUUCGUUGCAUGCCUUCGGCACCGCUGCAACAACCAUAAAAAACAUGCGACGAAUCACCUCUUCUCCCUAGGUUCAUGCAGCUUCGUCACUAAUACGUAGUUUUGCGGACCUUCAAACUAGAUUCUCAAAGAAAAAGCCAUUGUCGUUAAAAUAAUCAAGUGGGGCAGCACCCUGAUCGAAUACACCAUCAAACUAGAUAUCUGACACCCCCGCAUGACUAAGAUAUCAGAAUAGGAAAUCAUAUAAGCGAGCCACCAACCAAAAAUCCAGCACAGUACGAUCAGUCUUCUAGAUGUUGUCGAUCCAUACAACUAUCUGCAUCCGUUCCUAGACUAGCACCCAAGCUUUGCGCUGGCGGUGGAGCGAACAUCGUCGCAAUACCGGAGCCCGAGGUUACAAGUCCGCCACAAGGAUGUUGCCGUCACCGUGACAUCGCCGCUUGAACAAACUAGUUAGCAAAUCCAUCAAUGUCAUUGGAGCCGAUCGUCUCAUCGAGGAAGGAUUUGGAGCUUCUUCAUUCAGCCCCGACAUCACUAUCGUCGAAGCUAAGGCAUCGAAUGACCCAAAACCUCAACUACUAGUAGGCCCCGAACCUAAAAUUACAUGAUUUGCACAUGUCGAGCCCUGAAGAGGAGCCGCCGGAAGGCUAGACUGUCCUGAUGGCGGCUAUGGUUUCCAGUCGUCACUCACAAGAGCAAAACACUUCAUAAAUUUUCUGAUAAUGUGAAAUAGAAAAUGCUCAGUUACACUUUGCACAUGUUUAGCAUACUAACAUCGCACUAUACUGUUUGCAGUAUGACAGAACUACGUCCAGGUCAGUAACUGACUUGGAGGCAUAGGCUUGGUCGUUGGCACGUAUGCUCUGGCCAGUGGGCUCCAUAGGUUAGAGUCAUUGUGACCUGAGAUGAACCAAACAAUUUGGGCGGGUUGCAACCACCACUAGUGGGGACGGGGCCUUUAGCCCCGGCCCGUAAGGGGCUUUAGUCCCGGUUCAUCAACCGGGACUAAAGGGGCGGGACUAAAGGCCUAACCUUUAGUCCCGGCCCUGUUACAAGCCUGGACUAAAUGUGCUCCACGUGGGCGCCUCGUAGCGCCCCAGGGGCAGGCCCUUUAGUCCCGGUUCGUUACACGGACCGGGACUAAAGAUUUUCAGAUUUUGCUUAUUUUUGGGUUUUUUGAAUGAAAUUAUUUUUGGGUUUUAGGGUUUAGGUGUUCGGGAGAUUAACGUGAUGCCUCGUUUGGUGUUCGGGAAUUAGUUUUCAUAUAAUUUAAAUAGAAAUAAUUAUGCAUAUAUAUAAGAUUAACUUAUCUUACAAGCAAGCAUAUAUAUACAAUUAUCUGGAGAUCUGAAUUACCGGGACUAGAGCCCGUCUAUUCGAUUACAUGGACGAACAUCAGUAAUGGCCCCUAGCUACACUAAAUCGUCCUUUAUCAUCUAUAGCUUCCGUCCUCAGAAAGGUCGCAAGCUCCUCUGCAACAGCAAUCGCGCGUUGGUCUGGUAGGACCUUCGUCCUCAUGGCCGUGUACUAUAUAAGAAGAGGAGACGAAUAUGAAUAUCAAUCAUGAUAACAAAGAAUGACGGGAAAAAAUAGAGGUGUGAAUGUUCAUUGCUUACGUCGAAUCUGUGAUCCUUGUGCUCAGAGGUAAACGUGCGAAUGGUCUCGCAAACAUAGUAUCCGCAUAGAUGCGUCCCCCGUGGCUGCUGGUCGCACUUUACGAGAAUAGAAUAUAUAUAAUCAAAAUAAUAAUCUAGCAUUAUAAAUGUAUUGAAAAUAGAAGUAUAUCAUACUAUUACUUACCUGAGCCGCUCUAAAGGUCAGCUUCUCAGGCUCGAUACCGGGAGUCACGCACUUGAACCGCUUCCAAACCUUGCCCGACAAGGAUGAUGAUUUGCUAAGUUUUUCAUUAAUUGAUAUAUCAGAAAAUCAUCGAAAGAGACCGAUAGAGCGCAAGGAUGAUUGAAAUUACCCUUGAAGCAUGUCCUGCAGGCUUUGAACUGUUCCAAGGGUCUCGAUAAUGGGUCGAAGGCAUCAACUCUUCCCUUAUCAAUUUGAAUGUCCAACAGAAUCCAAUGGAAGCUGCACAUGUAUAUAUAUAUAUAUAUAUAUAUAUAUAUAUAUAUAUAUAUAUAUAUAUAUAUAUAUAUAUAUAUAUAUAUAUAUAUGUCAGUAACUUAUCAAUUACACUUAUAAGUGAAUGGACACAACAGAGUAAAGACCCUCACCUGAAGUUGUAUGGAAACCGUAUGUGGUCACGGAAAUUUUGAUCUGUUAGAAACCUUAGAAGGUUUUCCUCCGUCUCCUUGGGUUUAUCAGUUAGCGUCGCUAUAUGUAUUUUAUCUGGGUCAAUAAACCCAAUAUUUAGGAUGUUCUUACUUUUACAAUCCAGAAUCUUCAUUCUGCAUAAUAGAGUACAAUUUAUAUAUAGACAAUGAAUUGAAAUAACUAAACAAGUUAUAUGUAGACAACGAAUUGAAAAACUUACAGACAAUAGCAACUCAUAAGCGAUUUGUCGAGGGCGUCGUCAUUGUACAUCUGGAAGGGUUCAUCAAAGUCGAUAUGAAUUUCUUCGGGGCGGCCGUAGUACUCCUGUGGACGGGAACAUCUCCUCCCACUGAAAGCACUUCGCCGGAAUACCUGGAAUAAAUCCAGAAAAAUGCGAGCACCAACGUCAAGUCUGAGACUUGAACUCUGGUGGACAGGGGAUACCACAGUCCUCCUAACCAUCCAACCACGGGUUGGUUUGCACAUCCAACCUUUCUUAAACUCGAGAAUUCUACGAAAAGCAAGUGUGAGGGUUUAGAUACACAUAUGGCUAAGACAUAAAACAUAUAAAGAACUUAGAGGGUGCUUGGAUCCAAGAGACUAAAACUAGGCUGACUAAAACUAGUCUCUUUUAAGAGGCUAAAGUUCCAAGCACCCCUGACUAAAGAGAGGCUAAAACUAGUCUUGAGGCUAAAAUCUUUUAGUCAGGGGUACCCCUACUAAAAUGUGCAUUAGUCCUCUCUCUCCUCAUUUAACUCCUCAUGCAAGUUCUGGAUUGGAGGGUUUGGAGGAUAAUACAUGCUCAUUAACUUGAUUCUAGUCUCUUUAGUACUUGGAUCCAAGCAUGGGUGAGGCUAGCAAGUUUUAGUCUCACUACUUUUAGUCAUGGGACUAAAACGUAUCCAAUCACCCUCUUAUAGAGUAGACGUGAUAGUGUCCAGUGCAAUGAGGUCCACCCCCCCCCCCACCACUCCCCAAACCCAAAGCUUGUUGGAAUCAAACAUGAACUUUUUUCUAUUAAUUAUGUGAGGACUGAAACUAUAUGUAUCUGUAACAUAUAUUUAUUUAAUACAAAUAAAAUAAUAGAGUGAAAAUGACUAAGAAUUUUUCAAUGCAUGCUUGCAUAUUUAGGUGGCAUGUUUAGAUGUUUAAAAAUAUAUCAAUGAGGAGCACCUUUUGUUAUCAAGUAAAGUAAAUUAUCAAUGGUAAGGAUUAAGGAUUACAGCCGAACGGCUCCCACAUUGUCCAAUUUGGAUCGUUGGUUCCAAUCUAGUGGUUUUUUUUCUUCACUACUUUUUCCAACACCGGCCUGCUUCUCAAAACGCAUGGACCUGGCGCGUCCACAUCGUCGAGGUUGUGCAUAUAUGCAAUCACUAAGCUAAUUCCACAGUUUUAUUGACCGGGCCAGCGCAUGAUCAACAAGGCCAUGAAGGUCUCAUAUCUCGAAGCAAUUGAAAAAUAAGAAAAACUAUAGUAUGUAAUCUGGGUAUUGCGAGUACAGAUAAAAAUUAUGCUUCCGUAAGCACACUUUGUUUGGUUUAGGCAUGAACGAAGUACACAAGAUUGCAGCUAUAUGUUGACUCUUCAAUAAACGAAACCCGUAAAAAAUAAAGCCCUAUGGACGAUUUUUGUGGUGCUACAAAGAGAAAAUUUGGCUAGUCCUAGGAGCAGUGCCGAAUCACACCUUAGGCUGGGUUUCUUCACUAAUAUAAACGCAAAAACUGCCUAUGAUCAUGUAUUUAAAAAAUAUAUAGGUCUGCAUAAAAAGUAAGGUCAUGCAACACCUAUAGAAACUUCAUUUGAUGAAGAAUCUAAAUAUAUAUUUUUGAGCUUAUAAUAUAUGUUAGAUUAGUCAAAAUGGACACCUAAAAGCCCUCGCCCAACUUAAAAAAAAUGGAUGGAAGCAUUACAAAUGCGUAAAAUCUUUUAAAAAAAUUGACGCACCAUAUACAAAAAUUGAACAUAGUCUACUGCUAAUGCCUUGCCACUACCUCUAAAUCCAUAAACUCCCUUUCUAUAUAUUUGCUGCCUUAGAGUGCGAGUCAAUAGAUGUUUUGUCGACAGUGAACCAUCCACUUGACUAUCAGUCAAUGGAAUAGAUACUGGUAUGCCUGCCUAUUUUUCUAGUGUAAUCAAGGCAGCGGUAAUAGAUUUUCAUUGGCAAUCUUUGUCCCAUUAAUUGAUCUCGGUUGAACUUUCUAACUCGUUUUUGUGGUGAGCUUGCUGUGAUUUCACCCGCUGACUCCUUACUUCGCGGCUGUGCAAACGUACACACGGACAAAGAGAUAUUCAUUCCACUUGGACGUGAGAAUAGGUUUUCUUAGUGUCCUCUGUAGGUUAGCAGCGUAAAACCAACCAUUGGCGACAACGAACUACUUGGCCGAGCCGCUGUUGUCCACUGGAGCUCGACCUCGGCACGCCUGCACGCGUAUAUGGCACAGCAGGUGUUGCUCUUAUUCUGGCCAGCGUGCACCAGCAGCCCGCGAGUUGCCCUUAAUUACGGGAGCGGUUCUAACUGCACUAGCCAGUACGAGCAAAUAUUACAUGUACAAUCCGACUAUGGAUAGGAUACAAACAUUUCCAUCAUGCUACUGUAAAUAUGGAAGUGAAAUUUCAACCAUAAUGUGUUUUUGACCGUAGUCAUGCAGAUGUCAUGAUGGGAAGUUGGGCUUCUAGGAGGGGUUUUCUUGGCGGCUUCGGUCCUAGUGAUCGAGGGCACCAUUGAUCCUAGUUGUGCAGAAUCUUUCGCUUAUUGGUAAUCGUUGCGUCUAGCUCCGGAUCUUAAUUAACCUGUGGAAGGCAGUGGUUGCAUAGGACUGCUUGGAGGUUGUUAGAGCUACUAAUAAAGGAAGUAGAGGAGGAGGACAUGGAGUUUUUGAUCCGAGCUCACAUGCAACCUGAUAACUGGUCAAAUUAAAGAUAGUUUUUUCUUUAUAAAAAAUAAGAGUUUUUAAUGAACUUUGAUGAAUUCUUCACCCACAUACAAAAUUUCAUGAUGAAAUGACAUUUCAGGGAGGUCUGGUCCAAAAAAAAAAAUCGAUGCUCUCAAAAUACUAUGUUAGAACUUAGAAGCCUUUUGAAGCACCGAUUCAGGUUGUUUUCGCCCAGGCCGCCAUAAAUGUCAUUUUAUCACAAAAUUAUAUUCGCAGUUGAAAUAUUCGUCAAUGUUUAUCACAAAGUAUACAUUCCGUUUCUUUUGCUAUUCACAAGGGAGCAUGUGUGCAAAUGUGAUGAUCAGCAAGGAGAUUAGGAGUAUGAGCAGGAGCUAGGAGAUAUAGUCUUUUGUUAUCAAAAGGAGAGGAUAAUCUAGAUACCCAUAAUAUUGCUAGAAUAUUUUUUUAUUAGUCCCGGGCUGCCACGUCCAGGGUUUGGAUACCCCAGGAUAUGUUUUUUUAUUAUGGAUGAAUAAAUGAGCUAGGGUGUUUAUCGGAAAGAAGAUACAAAAAUUAGAGCUUAUAUACUAGCCUAUGUAGAACUUUAAGGGGGCAAAAAAAUAUUACACUUAUUUUGUUAGUUAAAUAAAGACUUAAAAGUAUAUCAGAUGGAGCUGAGUACCUAUAUUAUAUUUUUUCCAUUUCAAUAAUGCAACAUGAUCAUCAAUGCAUGUGUUUGCAGGAAAUGAAUCUUCCAUUUAUGCAUUGGUCAAUGGAAUAGAUACUGUCUUACUGAUAUGCAUGCCUGUUUUUUACUGCAACCAAGGCAACAUUAAUAUUACUCUAUCACCGGAAAUCUUUGAUUCAUUAAUUGAUCCUGGUUCAACUUUCUAACUCGUUUCUGUGGUGAGUCAUGUUCUCACUCGUUGGCUGCUUAAUUCGUGAGAAUAUGGAAUUUUCUUAGCCGUGUGUAGCUUAGCGAUGUAAAAGGCAUGUCUACUGCAAGCAUUUGACUACGAUGACAUAUUUGGCCGGGCCGCUCCCCAUCUCGUAAUGGGUGCCCGCUUGUUUCAAUCCAUCGUGGGAUCAACCAAUGCAACUAUACAAAAACCGGACUAUGCGUAGUGAGAUGCAUAUUUGCAUGCUAUAUCGGACACAUGAAGUCCCACUAGUUAUUUUUCCCAACGACAAAAAUGUUGAUAAAUUAAAUAAUUUUCCAUGAAAGCAUGCUCAGUCCGUUUGAGGUCGCAAUGUGAUAGAUUACUUGUUAUCUGAAGCAGAGUUCAAUUUUUUUCCGGGAGAAAAUAGAGUUUAUCAAUGAUCCAGAUUGACACCACUCAAGAUAAAAAUAACUGGUUUGUGAAAAAGAGAUAAAAUUCACUCCAUGGCAAAAAAGAAGUUAAAACUCAAUACAAUCCAAAUCUAUUAAUACAUGUGAAUUCAAUACAAUACCAAUACAUGAACUUAGGACAGUGACGAAAUCCAUCAAGGACGUACAAACUACAAACAUGCAAUAGAUCGAUCCAUAUUUCUUUUCCACCUCUUUAUUAACCUCUUACAUACUAUUAGAGUCUUGUAUAUGUAUUAUAUCAUAGACAAAGCACACGAAAUGAUGUCCAGAUCAUUCUUCUUCUUCAUCAGUCCACACGAGAGGUUUAAAUUGUAUAUGUAAAUCCAGAAUUCACGGCUUUGUAGCAUUGCUGCCUAACAAAUUAAAAUUUCAGUGUCAGGUUUCUGCGGAGCCACGCACACAAUAUAUAUGCAGAUGAACAAUUAUAGUUCAUAUACCUGGGUUGGCUGGCUUUGCAUGUUUGUUGUUUGCUGCAGGCGUCGGCAGUGAGGCAGUACUUGGCGCUUUAGCUUCAGAUUCUGCACACAUGCGAAACCACAAGAGAUCUAUAAAUUUGGAGAACCCGUUGAUUAUUGAGAUAUCUUGAUUAUUUGGUCAUGUAAAGAAAAUGUGCGGCUUUGGGAGUCAGGGAAAGAAAGCUAGUUCAAAAAGGUGCCCGACGUUGACGAUGUUGCACACGAUCAUCGAGUACGUGUAGCUCUUGCUUCGAGACUAAUAGCAAGCUCGAGUGCUGGGACUACUAACCAGAAGAAGAUGCCGCUGGCUGCACAUGUGGGUUUCCUGCACGGUAAUAUCAAUCAGUCAAACAGUAGUUGCACACGGAUAUGAGUUAAUUAAUCAGUUUUCAAUGGAACAUGGGGCUAAAAUUGCAGAGGCUAGCGAUGCUGAUAGCAUACACCAGGAUCAGGACCUUUAUUCCCGGUCGCAGAAUAAGUUUUCAGUUCAGGCACACCUUCACUCAUCGCUGCAUGGCAAAUAAAAAGAUACACAAUUUAUUUUACUUGUUAAUGAAUGUGAGUAUGAAACUGGAGGUUAAUUAGCUUACUUUUCGCCUGUGGAUCCAUGUUAUUUGGAGUUGGAGAGGCCUUGCUUCGUAACUGGGCGUCUUCAGCAAGUUUGAGCUGUUGAUGGCCAAAUGGCUGGGAAAAUUUCGCCUGUUAUAGGGCUAUACCGAUUGAGAACCCGUAGAAAUUGCAUGUAACUAGGAUGAUCAUGACAUCUCUCGAAGAAAAAUUGUAUAUUCCACUCUAUUUACAGAAAUUAAUUGCACUGAUAUAUACAUGCUGGUGGGUGUCAAUGGCAUUAAAUCUUUUAAUUUGACCCAGUUAGAUUUGCAAGGAUUUUCCCAGUCAAGAAAUAUAUAUCGCGUACGCAUCCUGGAAAUACACAUAAUAGACGAAUAUUUAUUUGAAACAGCACUAAGACAUUUUCCCCCUUUCAAUAAUGCACCUUAUAUAGUUCAGUUGCGUGACAAACCAAGAGGGGAAUGUACUAUUUUCCCUCACACAUGGAUGUAAUUCUCUUGUUCAUGGUUCAGGAUAACAAAUAUCUACAUAUUUCAUCACCUGAAAAGAAGAUACCUUUCCAAACUGAAAGAGAAUGUACUAUUGGAUUUUCUAGUUCAAGAAAAGAUACAGUAGAAACUGCGUUUUCAUUAUUUAGGAAAACCAUAUAUUUCUCAAGGUGUGAACAUAUAUAAUAUCCUGCAAUGGGGGCCUGAUUGUAGCAGAUGCCAUUUCUUGGUUAUAUAUUUUUAGUAUAAUUUUAAUCAUUCCACAAAUUUAGGAGCAUGCAAUCAUAACUGUUACAGACAACACUAAGAUAUAAUCCAUUGUAUAAUAUGUUUUUAAUCUGACCGUGGUGACCUACUUAAUGCCCUGAGAUGGGUGUAAUUACGUCACCCACCGGCAGAUUGUAGCCUCCUUUGUACCCACCCACCGACUGAGGGGUAGCUCCUUAAAUAUGAGUACCACGAUAUCCAACCUUUCUUCUUAAACUCGAGAAUUCUAUCAAAAGCACAUGUCAUGGUUUAGAUACACAUAUAGCUAAGAUGUACAUAAAACAUAUAAAUAACUAAUAGAUCCAGUGCAAUGGGGUGACCCCCCUCAAAGCCUGUUGGAAUGAAACAUGAACCUUUUUUAUUAUUUCUAUGAGAACUGAAACUGAAUAUAUAUACAAUUUAUUGUAUAUCUACAAAAUAUUUAUUUAGUACUUUCUACGUCCCAUAAUAUAAGAGUGUUAUAAACACUGCACUAGGUGUCACCUAUUUUAUUAUCGAGUAAAGUAAAUUCUGAAUGGUAGGAAUUUAGGCUUGGAACAAAAUGCCUCACACUUUGUCCAAUUUACAUAAUGAGUUUUGAUCUAAUGGGCUAUUUUGUUUGGGAAAAUUUUGGUUUUGUCACUCUAGUUUUUGCCAAAUUUUCUUAUGCCACUCUAGACUUUGAGAUUUCACUUUUGUCAUUCUUAGCUUUUGACAAUUAUCACAAUUUUCAUUCCACGGAAGCGGAAACUAAUUUUAUUUCACUUUUGUCACUCUUAGCUUUUGACAAUGUAUCAGAAUUAUCACUCUAAAUUUUUUGUUUAUGCCACAAAAUAGCAAUUGUGAUAAUUAUCAAAAGCUAAGAGUGGAAAAAUUAAAUGUCAAAAAUGGAGUGGCGUAAGGAAAAUUAGCAAAAUAAAUUUUUACCUUUUCUGUUUUAGUACUUUCUCCAACAUGGGCCUGCUUCUCAAAACACCUGGACCUCCCACGUUCAUAACGUCGACGUCCCCAAUGACAAAUUGCAUGAAUGCUCGUCUCCCUAUCCUGUUGCCACCUCAGCUAUGGUAUCCUACCGAUGCAAAUACUGGUAACAUUGUGCAAAACGCCGGUGCAGCAGGGCUUCAAGCAGACGAUAAUUGCAACCCUAGUCCAGGAUUACAGCCUACUUGGCCGCUCGUCAUGACCACUUCACCAACAUCACCCUCGAUGUCUUGUUCUCGGUUGUGGCUACCUAGCUCAUAGGCCUCUCCACCACUUCUACGCAGGCUGGUGACCAAUCCCAUCACCCUCCUCAAAGCUCCAACUUCCACCUAGAUUUCUACUCCAAUCCAUGGCAUCUAAUAGAUGUAAAGUGUGUCUUGAUCUUUCAAAGAGAAAUACACGUCGAUUUGGAUGGAUUUGACUAUGGCGAUCCGACUAUUACAUGUGACGAAGUUGUGCAUAUGCAAUCACGAAACUAAUUCCACCGUUUUUAUUGACCAGGUAGGAGCAUGAUCAACAAGACCAUGAAGGUCUAAUUUCUAGAAGCAAUUGAAAACUAAAAAGAUAUAAUAUAUAAUCUGAAUAUUGCGAAUAUAGAUAAAAAUUAGGCAUCCUUGCUUGGAUUAGGCAUAAACGAAGUUCAAGAAGUUGCAUCUAUGUUGACUCUUUAAUAAACAAAACUCAUAAAAACUAAAGCACUAUGGGUGAUAUUUAUGGUUCGACAAAUGGAAAAUUCGGCUAGUCCCUAGGAGCAGGGCCGAAUCUCACCUUACGUCCGGUUUCUUCACUAAUAUAGAUGAUAAAAACUGCCUAUAGUCAUUUAUUUCAAAAAUAUAUGGGUCUGCAAAACCUACACAAAUUUCAUUCGGCGUCGAAUCUAAAUAUUCUUUUAGCAAAUAAUACAUGUUUCGUUAGUCAAAAUGAAUUCCCAAAAGGCCGCACCCAACUUAAAAAACCUAUGGAGGCAGUACAAAUGUGUGGAAUAUUUAUUUAAAAACUGACGCACUAUAUAUAAACAUUGAACACAGCCUUCUGCUAAUGUAUUUUUCCUUUUUGAAAUUUACUGCUAAUGUCUUGCCAGUAUCUCUAAAUCAGUAAACUCCCUUUCUAUAUAUUUGCUGCCUUAGAAGACGAGAAGGUGUAUGGUCAGCAGAACGUUCCCUAAAGUGCAAGUGGUCGAGGACUCCAUAAUUAGUUGCAUACAUGUGAUUUUUGCUAGUUAUUACUGCCGUUCGUUUUUUCGUUUGUGUAAUGUGACACAACCAAAUCAAUAGAUGUUUUGUCGGAUAGUGAACCAUCCACUUGACAAUCAGUCAAUGGAAUAUAUACUGAUUGCCUCUUUUUCUACUGUAAUCAAGGCAAGGAUAAUAGAUUUCUCCAUCAUUGGCAAUCUUUGUCCCAUUAAUUGAUUUUGGUUGAACUUUAUAACUCGUUUUUGUGGUGAGCUAGCUGUGAUUUUACUCGCUGACUCCUUACUUCGCGGCUGCGCAUACGUACACACGGAGAUAUAUUUUUUUAAAUGGAGGAAAAAGUUUUUCCUCAUCCAUUAAAUAAUAGAGGAAAAUCGGGCAAAAACAAUUACAAACCGCUGAGCAGCACACACUGGAUAUCCCACACAUACUUUGCGACAAGGGCAUCAUCAAGACAACACGCAAGCGCAGGGGCGGAGACAGGACCCCGAGCUCCCAGGGCCUGGGCCUGGGUAAAGAGACCCAUCUUCUUUGUUGAGUGUAGCAAUUAUUAAGGGUAUGAGACCAAAAUUCAGGAUAUUUUUUAAGGCGGCCCCGGGUUUGAUGUUUGCCUCGCUCCGCCCAGGGUUUGAUGUUUGCCUCGCUCCGCCCCUGCGCAAGUGUCAUCAUCAUCACUUCUUCCCUAGUAGGCCUCACCGCCAACCCUAAAACAUUGAGCAAACGGCUCCGACUUCACCAUAGAUAAUCAUAACCCCACCCACACUGAAAAGGCAAGUGGAGCCACAUGAAGACCCAUGCUAGAACUCAGUCACCCACGACAAGACAGCGCAACUCCAAUUCUGACCGAGAACUACGAAGGAGAACUAGACAAGGUUGGCGGCGUGGAUGAUCACUGAAUGGACCACCCGUCACCCAUCAUCGUAUACCAUCGGGCCCUACCACAUAAGCUUCGACUUCACCGCGACAAAUAGCCGAGGCAAUCACCCAGACACGACGGAGAAGAGCCGACUACCUCAACAGACGCCACAUCUCCGACCUUGCUCACCACCAAUAUUGUUGGUAGUGAAGCCUCAAUGCAAACACCGACGCCAUCCACUAGCCCCGCAUGUCGAUGCCCAGCUUCAAAGAUGAAGCCCCCUAGAGGGAAAACGACACCAAGGCGUCGCAAUCGUCCCAUCACCUGGGAUAAGGGUCCCCCCCCAAGCUGCAGCGUCGACUAGAUCCAUGCGAGAGGGGUGCGACAACUAAGCAGCAAUGCCUCCAAGAAGGUCAACAACAACCGCAACCACCUCCAUCGCUACUCACGUCACAAGGCCGAGACAUGGUUCUCACCUGAUUUUUACAUUAACAAGAGUCCACGAAAACCUACUAACAAAGGAUCUAGUUCCAAAAAUCUCGACACGAGAAAUCAAAGAGUGAAAAUGAUUCGUUAUUUCGACCCAUGGUUCAAAAGAUGAAACCUUUUGAUAAACGAAUCUACGCAAAAGAAAAACUCCUAGGUUACUAGUGCCCCACUUGUCAGCGCAUGAAAAGUUGGAGAGUGACCUUUGCAAAGGAUAAUUCUUAACUAGUGAUUUCGUUGGUUCAUCGAUUGUAAUUGUCUUACUUUUUUGUCCAUUUUUCCUAUUGUUUAUUUUUUGUUUUUAUUUAUAUAUUCAUAUUUUUUGUUUUGGCUUUAUCUUUUGUUCUUUGUGUUCUUUUCUUUCCUUUUUGGUGUUUUCAUUCUUCUUUGGCUUUCGGUUUCAUGAAUAAUCCAUGAAUAAUGUUUACAACAUAUGCAUACUUUUUCUAAAUACACAAUCACUUUUCAAAUUAAACGAAUAUCUGUGCAUUGCAUGGUCAUUUGGAAAAUACACGAUGAAACAUUAUAAAUACAUGACUUUGGUUUUGGGAAUUACACUAUCCACGUUUUAAAAUGCAUGAUGAACAUUUUUGAAAAGAUAAGAACAACUUUAAAUACACGGACAAUAUUUUAUAUUUCAUACAUUAAAACAUGUUUUAAAUAUAAGAUGGAUAUUUCUGAAUGUAUAAUGGAUAAUUUUAAACCAUGGAAACUAACUUUUAAUAAAUAAGAAUUAGUUUCGAAAUUGUACUAUAAUGUUUUUUAAAUAUAUGCUUUUUAAAUACUAGGUCAAACUUUUAGAAAAUUAUGCAUAUAUUCUAAAACAAAUAUUCAACAUUUUUGCACACAAUAAAUAACCUUUAAAACAUGAUAAUUUUUGUAAAACUUUAGAAACAUUAUAUUUUUUUUAGAGGUAACAAAACUGUAUAUAGUUUUUUUAGAGCUUACAAAACUGUACAUACUGUCGUAGAAAAACAGUUCAUAGUGCAGCAUUUUUUUGAGCAAAACUAGCUAGGUUGUGUUGAUCAAUAACAAUGUUUAGAGGAAUGGCAAUUGGAUCAUGAGGAGAUCCCAACCACAUGUGCCUCCCUUGUGGAAGAGAGACACCAAACCUAGCUAGAUUAUGAGUUUCAACAUUAGAAGCUCGAGGUUUGAAAUAGAAAUUACAAGUAAUAAAAGUUUGUAAAGUUUCUUGUAUCUCUUUGAAUAACCUCUCUGUCACUAGUGGAAAACGGGCCUAUGGCCGGGACCCUUUAGUCCCGGCCUACCUCUAGGCCGGGACUAAAGGCCCGGCCACGUCGCCCCAAUUCUCAAUGCCUCCCUCAAGGCUUUAGUCCCGGCCCGUAAGGAGCCUUUAGUCCCGGUUCGUGUCCCAAACCGGGACUAAAGGGCUACGCGGUGGGCAGUGGUGGUGGCAACCGUUCGUAUCCCCCUUUAGUCCCGGUUGGUGGCUCAACCCCGGACUAAAGGACUAACACGUGGCCUGCCAUAGUGGUGGCAACCGUUGGUAUACCUCUUUAGUCCCGGUUGGUGGCUCAACCCGGGACUAAAGACCCAAACGGUUUGCAUCCCGCGUUGUUUCGGGUGAUGAAAAGCACGAACCGAAGCACAGUCGCCAUUUCUCUGUUUCUUCUUCUCUCUCGCUCUCCCUAUCUGUUCUUCUCCUCUCUUCUUCCCUUCUCUUCUUCCACCAUGCCAACUCGCUUUCAAAAGGUGCUCGCACAUGGCACGACCAUGCUCGAUGUCGUGUACACGAACGAGAGCAGGGAGGUGCCGUUUUUUCUUGAACAGUUGAAGGAAAAAUGGUUUGACGAUGCAAUGGAUCAUGAGAAAUUCUUGGGGCUUGAUCUGGAGUACACGACCGAUCAACGCGGUGUUGCCGUCAUCCAACUAUGCUUCCCACGCCAUGUCUUGAUCUUUCAAUGGGUGAGGUAAGUUUUGAGGCUUUCUUUGAUCCAAGAUAAUGACAUUGUAAGUUUAUUUGUUCCAAUCAUAGUUGGUUCCCUUCAAAUAGUUGUAGUGAAACAAUUUUGAUUAGUUGAAGGGGAACACAAUCUAAUUGGAUAGUGUUCCAUAAUCUGAAAAUCGUAUUAGAAUCAACUAGUGUUUAAUAUGUUCCAUUGGAAUCAUAGUUGGUUCGCUUCAAAUAGUUGUAGUGAAACAAUUUUGAUUAGUUGAAGGGAACACAAUCUGAUUGGAAUAGUGUUCCACAAUCUGAAAAAUCUGAUUGGUUCAAUAUGUUCCAUUGAAAUCAUAGUUGUAGUGAUACAAUUUUAUGCGGUGUUCUUUGAUCCAAGGUUAUGAAAAUUGCAUAUAGCUAGUGAUCUCUCUAGGUUCCAUUGGAUAGCAAUAUGAUAUGUCAUAGUCAUGAAAAUUGCAUAUAGCUAGUGAUCUCUCUAUGUUCCAUUGGAUAGCUAUAGUGAUCUCUCUAGGUUCCAUUGCAUAUGUUCUAUUUGAAUCCUAAAGAUAAUUUUCUCUUUAGUUGUAGUGAAACAUGUUUCCUUAUUGCAGCAGUAUGUAACAUUUGUUCCAUUUUAAUUUGUUUCUGUUGCAGAAGUGACAAGCAUUGUCCAGAACUCAUGGACUUCCUUCGCAGCGGCAUCACUUUUGCUACCGUUGACAUAAGGAACGACAAGCUGAAGAUGAGGCACAACUUCGGUAUUGAGAUACCAACUGGUUGCUUCAUUGAUCUCCAAACGGUAUUCAGGCUUCGACAUGUCAGGACUUCGAUGGCUCAUAUGGCAGUUGCCUUGAUCGACGAGGAAUAUGGUGAUAUGAAGACCAGUUUCCCAAAGUGUCAGCACAAACUUUGGGAGAAGGCCCCACUUGAUCCUAUCAACAUUGAGUAUGCAGCAAAAGAUGCAUACGUUUCAUACGAGUUGUACCGCAAGAUUUGAGUCGUCAACUAUGGCCAGCGUCACCUCGAGGAAGGUGGACAUUCUGAUUCAGACGAGUAGUGUUCUCAACAUCGAACACUUGUAUAUAUAUCUAUGGUAACUAUUAUUAUGUACUGUUUGGACUAGUAUCAUGUACUGCUUGGACCAAUUUAUAUAUGUCUAGUUUCUGUUUGUGCCAUUAUAGUUUCCAAAUUUGAAUGGUUUAGCCCUUUCUAACUUCAUUUGCUACUUUUGAAUGGUUUAGCCCUUUCUAACUUCAUGGUAUCAUGCAUUUCGACCACAUAUAUGUACAAAAAGUCUUCAGUCAAAUAAGUUCAAAAAAUGAAAUCCCUUUUGUAACAUAUCUGUUUUUGAUUAAAACAGUCAUUUAAAAAUGAAAGACCAUUAGUCCCACGUGAUGUGCAGUGGAACCACGUGGCGUGCAGCGGAACCACGUGGCGUGCCGCGGAACCACUUUUGUUGAGGGGGUUGCUUCUCCUUCUUCUCCUUGUGCUAGAUAUUGGUUAUGCACUAGGGGAAGUACACGGAGUGCGGGGGUCGCUUCUACUUCGAAAGAGAUUGUCCAUUUUGUACACGAAGUGCAUCCAGUUUUUGUCGUAGCCCUCUCAACUUUUUAACACAUGCUAUGUGGGUGAAAUGAUGAUAGCAUGCCAACUUUCAACAUUUUCAGAGUUCAUUUGUAGUGCUUUUCAAUUUCAGGGUCAACUAGCUCAAAAAAAAUAAGUAAAUGCACGAAGAAUACCAAAUGAAGUCAGAAAUUGUUGAAAUUUUGUGAUGUGCCUUUGAAUGGUGAAUUUUGAACACACAAAAAGUAUGGAGUUCAAAUAAGUUCCAAAAAAUGAAAACCCUUUGUUAGAGAUGAGUUCUCGUUCGAAACGCUCAUACAUCGAGAGAGAUUGUCCGUUUUGUACACGAAGUGCAUCCAGUUUUUGUCCGUAGCCCUCUACUUAACUUUAACACAUGCUAUGUGGUGAAAUGAUGAUAGCAUGCCAACUUUCAACAUUUUUGAGUAGUAUUAKUUWGUWAGUUGUUUUUUUACAAUUUUCGAGGGUCAANNNNNNNNNNNNNNNNNNNNNNNNNNNNNNNNNNNNNNNNNNNNNNNNNNNNNNNNNNNNNNNNNNNNNNNNNNNNNNNNNNNNNNNNNNNNNNNNNNNNCCCCCCCGUAAAGGGGGUAAACCCCCCCCCCCCGUAAAACCCCGUUUAAAAAACGGGGGGGGUAACCCCCUUUUAGGGGGGUUUACGGGUUUACGGGUACCCCCCCUAAAACCCCCCCGGUUUCCCCGAAAAGGGGCCCCGUUAAUCGGGGACGUUUCCCCCCGGGGGUCGGGUUAGCCCCCCCCCGGUGAACUCCCGGAACCCAUUCGUCAUUCCCGGUACAUUCCCGGUAACUCCGAAACCUUCCGGUAAUCAAAUGAGGUCAUCCUAUAUAUCAAUCUUCGUUUCCGGACCAUUCCGGAAACCCUCGUGACGUCCGUGAUCUCAUCCGGGACUCCGAACAACAUUCGGUAACCAACCAUAUAACUCAAAUACGCAUAAAACAACGUCGAACCUUAAGUGUGCAGACCCUGCGGGUUCGAGAACUAUGUAGACAUGACCCGAGAGGCUCCUCGGUCAAUAUCCAAUAGCGGGACCUGGAUGCCCAUAUUGGAUCCUACAUAUUCUACGAAGAUCUUAUCGUUUGAACCUCAGUGCCAAGGAUUCAUUUAAUCCCGUACGUCAUUCCCUUUAUCCUUCGGUAUGUUACUUGCCCGAGAUUCGAUCGUCAGUAUCCGUAUACCUAUUUCAAUCUCGUUUACCGGCAAGUCUCUUUACUCGUUCCGUAAUACAAGAUCCCGCAACUUACACUAAGUCACAUUGCUUGCAAGGCUUGUGUGUGAUGUUGUAUUACCGAGUGGGCCCCGAGAUACCUCUCCGUCACACGGAGUGACAAAUCCCAGUCUUGAUCCAUACUAACUCAACUAACACCUUCGGUGAUACCUGUAGAGCAUCUUUAUAGUCACCCAGUUACGUUGCGACGUUUGAUACACACAAAGCAUUCCUCCGGUGUCAGUGAGUUAUAUGAUCUCAUGGUCAUAGGAAUAAAUAUUUGACACGCAGAAAACAGUAGCAACAAAAUGACACGAUCAACAUGCUACGUCUAUUAGUUUGGGUCUAGUCCAUCACGUGAUUCUCCUAAUGACGUGAUCCAGUUAUCAAGUAACAACACCUUGUUCAUAAUCAGAAGACACUGACUAUCUUUGAUCAACUGGCUAGCCAACUAGAGGCUUGCUAGGGACGGUGUUUUGUCUAUGUAUCCACACAUGUAAAUGAGUCUUCAUUCAAUACAAUUAUAGCAUGGAUAAUAAACGAUUAUCUUGAUACAGGAAUUAUAAUAAUAACUAUAUGUAUUAUUNNNNNNNNNNNNNNNNNNNNNNNNNNNNNNNNNNNNNNNNNNNNNNNNNNNNNNNNNNNNNNNNNNNNNNNNNNNNNNNNNNNNNNNNNNNNNNNNNNNNAAGGUAUUUCAAAUUUCACAAAAUGUCUAAAUUUAUUGAAUUUGAAUAAAAGGUAAACACAAGCUAGUUACCGAAGAAUAUACAACAAAAAUUAUCUUAGUAAUGCAGCAAGAAAUUCCUUCCACAAUGUAUGCAAGCGCCAUAUCGUGCUCUCCGUCGGUGGCUCUUUCAUCACAGCAGAUGGCUCCACGGGGUCGGGCAUGAUUCUUUGGAACUCUGAUUGGAGGAUUGCUUUCACUUCGUAGCGAUAAUGAAGCUCUCGAAGUGGAGAUCCACCUGAUAACAGAGGGCAUGGACAUGGCGCUUCAAUGGAUAGAUUCUCAUUUAUCUUUCAUGCUGGUUCUUCGGUUGCCCUGUUUGCCUUGGGAGACGAUACCUUGGCUUGGUGUACGGACAUCUAGUUGUUCUGAUCAAAAGGUUGAUGCGAGAAUGAGAGUUUAUGUCCUAGAAAGUAGCCUCAAUUAAAAAUAGGUUGGCUAAUUGUUUCGCCAAUUUUGGUUGUUCUGGAUGCAGUAUAAUGAAAUAAAACUCCUUAAUUAUCUGCAAAAAAGUGCUCCGGCCUUUCGUACCUUUCUACAUAUAACCACAAUAUUAUUUACCCAUGUUCAAGAAUUCAUGGAAUUAAUUAGUUAACUUGUCGAUUAAUCCAUACUUGUAGGGUCAUUGAAUAGCCGAUAAAAUAAUUAAUCAUUUGAUUAUUGGACUAACUUGCUGAUUAGCCUAUUAAUUCUCUAGUCGCCAACCAACCGAACAUGAUGAGGACAUUGAUACAAUUGUUACACCUGCUAUACCUACUGGACCAGUUACUAGAGCUCGCGCACGUCAAUUGAAUUAUCAGGUACUUUCGUUUCUUCAAAAUCCUUCUAAUGUUCAUGAACAUAUGAUGCUGCCUAAAUUAGAUACUUUUGUUUUGCAUAUGAUUGAAGGACCCGGCAUAUGGACAAGGAGGAUGGCAAUUGGAGCGGGAUCAAGAAUGAAGGGGAAGAUGCACAAGCGGGAAAGAACAAGGGACCUUCCGCUGGUGAUUAUUGGACUUUGAAGCCACCAUAAGAAAAACAUGAAGGCUUGGACGAAAUAUACAAGAUGUCACUUCAUAAAUUUCAUCCAGAGGCUAUUAUAGGUGUUGCGUCACCUUAUUUUUUGGGCCAGGGCCUUGUAAUUUCGAAAUACUACCACAUAGGCUAUUUUUAGAGUCAGUGUGUGUCGGGAAACCGAGUUUAGGGUCAUUUUCGGACUCCUCCUCCAAGGGUCACGAAAAUCCCUCUCUAUUCUCUCAUAUAUACAGCCCUUUGGGCACCAUUUAGACUUGUGUUUUGUUUCAGUUACAAGUUCUCCAUAGUUGUAACUUUGUGUCCUUCGUUUGUGUUCUACGACAAGACCGGCCAAGGCGUCACAGAGCUCCACUUUCAUCAAUAAAGAUUUCCUCUUAUAUUCGCAAUAUCUAGAUUGCAUUUUUAGCUUCUUGCUUGUUCUUCGUUUGCGUGCAGGAAACAAACCCUCAUGGUCAGGUUGAUCGUGCUCCGGCAUGGUCAAUAACCUCUCGGAGUUGGUUUAGCGAUUGCUAAGGCACGGCAUCUUCGCACGUUCGUAGUUGGAUCGUCAAAGUUUACUCCACCAAAACGAUAGCCACCAUCUCAUCGAAAGACAGGGACAACUUCGCAUCUAUCAGAACAACUACCGGUUAACGAUUUCCUCAACAAUGUUAUUUACUUUCUUUGUGGGGACUAUAACAACCAUAGUUAUUUAAAGUGUUGCAUAUAAGUGCUAUAUCUAAAAAUUUGCUACUAGUGCAAUUGUGCAAGUCUAUCUAAGCUUCUGUUAAUUCACCCUGUUUUAUCAUAUCUGCGUGGAGAACACAUUAUGGUGGAAAAUUCACUUUAGCGACUAGCAUGACAUAAAAUAUUUUUUAGGGAAUAGCAUGACAUAACUUCAUGUGUCGAAUAUUGCAUAAAAAUAUGCAUCUUAUUAAACAGAGCUACGUCCUAGUAUUGGCUUGAUGUUACGAUUGAUUUUUUUAAUGAUAACAGGAGAGUUGUUAAUAUUCAUUAUGAAGAAAAAUAUGGUACAAUGACCCAAACUGCUUGAUUUAUAAGAGGAAAACCAGUCAAAAACCUGCACAGUGCCUAAAUAGACUAGGCAUAAAGCACACAAAGCAUCCAACAUGCCAUAAGGUCACACUUCACAAGACACCCGACGGGGCACUCGAACACCUGCGCUGAUACCAGAGUACACACCAAAAACCAGCUAUGCCAAGAUGGAUCGAGUGAGGUGGCCAAGAGCAAUCCAAUAGGGUAUGUCAUCGUCAUCAAAUGCGUGUAGUAGGCGUGCCUUUAAUUUUACACCUCUAAGCUACACAUGCCUCAAAGGAGAUUCCACAUUCUCAUGAAGGAGCCAACGCAAUGAGAACACAGCCAUCUCACCACAAAAAUGAGUUAGAAAGUUCAACAAGACCAAUUAAUGAAACAACGAUCAGUAGAAAAAAGAGGCAUGCAUGUUGAUAUGACAGUAUCUAUCCCAUUGAUGGAUUGAGCUAUGCACAAAUGAAAUAUUCACUAUGCUACAAAUCAUGCAAUGACUCAAUGAUGUCACAUUAUGGAAACGAGGAAAAAAACGAUAAUAAGUACUACACCGAGAUUUGCAUAGCGUGGAAGGGUUUAAAUUUUGAAUUAUAAAAUAUGUGUAAGAUGGGGCGGUCAAAGUUUUAUAACAUGAUGUACUACAUUCAUCCUGGUUUACUAGCUAGUCCCUCCAUAUUUUGGGUCAUGUUUUAAUCAUGAUUUUAAUUAACAAAUAUAAGUCAUACAUAAAAAUAAUAUCAUUAGAAACAGACAUCCAAAUAAGAAUUCAAUAAUAUAUAAUUUUUAUGAUAUGCACUAACAUUUCCUAGUUAAAUANNNNNNNNNNNNNNNNNNNNNNNNNNNNNNNNNNNNNNNNNNNNNNNNNNNNNNNNNNNNNNNNNNNNNNNNNNNNNNNNNNNNNNNNNNNNNNNNNNNNAUGUUUAUAUAUAGUGCGUCAGUUUUUAAAUAAAUAUUCCACACAUUUGUACUGCCUCCAUAGGUUUUUUAAGUUGGGUGCGGCCUUUUGGGAAUUCAUUUUGACUAACGAAACAUGUAUUAUUUGCUAAAAGAAUAUUUAGAUUCGACGCCGAAUGAAAUUUGUGUAGGUUUUGCAGACCCAUAUAUUUUUGAAAUAAAUGACUAUAGGCAGUUUUUAUCAUCUAUAUUAGUGAAGAAACCGGACGUAAGGUGAGAUUCGGCCCUGCUCCUAGGGACUAGCCGAAUUUUCCAUUUGUCGAACCAUAAAUAUCACCCAUAGUGCUUUAGUUUUUAUGAGUUUUGUUUAUUAAAGAGUCAACAUAGAUGCAACUUCUUGAACUUCGUUUAUGCCUAAUCCAAGCAAGGAUGCCUAAUUUUUAUCUAUAUUCGCAAUAUCCAGAUUAUUUAUUAUAUCUUUUUAGUUUUCAAUUGCUUCUAGAAAUUAAACCUUCAUGGUCUUGUUGAUCAUGCUCCUACCUGGUCAAUAAAAACGGUGGAAUUAGUUUAGUGAUUGCAUAUGCACAACUUCGUCACAUGUAAUAGUCCGAUCGCCAUAGUCAAAUCCAUCCAAAUCGACGUGUAUUUCUCUUUGAAAGAUCAAGACACACUUUGCAUCUAUUAGAUGCCAUGGAUUGGAGUAGAAAUCUAGGUGGAAGUUGGAGCUUUGAGGAGGGUGAUGGGAUUGGUCACCAGCCUGCGUAGAAGUGGUGGAGAGGCCUAUGAGCUAGGUAGCCACAACCGAGAACAAGACAUCGAGGGUGAUGUUGGUGAAGUGGUCAUGACGAGCGGCCAAGUAGGCUGUAAUCCUGGACUAGGGUUGCAAUUAUCGUCUGCUUGAAGCCCUGCUGCACCGGCGUUUUGCACAAUGUUACCAGUAUUUGCAUCGGUNNNNNNNNNNNNNNNNNNNNNNNNNNNNNNNNNNNNNNNNNNNNNNNNNNNNNNNNNNNNNNNNNNNNNNNNNNNNNNNNNNNNNNNNNNNNNNNNNNNNAUCGUUUGAACCUCAGUGCCAAGGAUUCAUUUAAUCCCGUACGUCAUUCCCUUUAUCCUUCGGUAUGUUACUUGCCCGAGAUUCGAUCGUCAGUAUCCGUAUACCUAUUUCAAUCUCGUUUACCGGUCAAGUCUCUUUACUCGUUCCGUAAUACAAGAUCCCGCAACUUACACUAAGUCACAUUGCUUGCAAGGCUUGUGUGUGAUGUUGUAUUACCGAGUGGGCCCCGAGAUACCUCUCCGUCACACGGAGUGACAAAUCCCAGUCUUGAUCCAUACUAACUCAACUAACACCUUCGGAGAUACCUGUAGAGAAUCUUUAUAGUCACCCAGUUACGUUGCGACGUUUGAUACACACAAAGCAUUCCUCCGGUGUCAGUGAGUUAUAUGAUCUCAUGGUCAUAGGAAUAAAUACUUGACACGCAGAAAACAAUAGCAACAAAAUGACACGAUCAACAUGCUACGUCUAUUAGUUUGGGUCUAGUCCAUCACGUGAUUCUCGUAAUGACGUGAUCCAGUUAUCAAGUAACAACACCUUGUUCAUAAUCAGAAGACACUGACUAUCUUUGAUCAACUGGCUAGCCAACUAGAGGCUUGCUAGGGACUGUGUUUUGUCUAUGUAUCCACACAUGUAAAUGAGUCUUCAUUCAAUACAAUUAUAGCAUGGAUAAUAAACGAUUAUCUUGAUACAGGAAUUAUAAUAAUAACUAUAUGUAUUAUUGCCUCUAGGGCAUAAUUCCAACAGUCUCCCACUUGCACUAGAGUCAAUAAUCUAGCCCUCACAUCACCAUGUGAAUUACAUUGUAAUAAAUCUAACACCCAUACAGUUGUGGUGUUGAUCAUGCUUUGGCCGUGGAAGAGGUUUAGUGAGCGGGUCCACUACAUUCAGAUCCGUGUGCACUUUGCAUAUGUUCACGUCCUCUCCCUCGACGUAGUCGCGGAUGAGGUUGAAGCGUCGUUUGAUGUGUCUGGUCUUCUUGUGAAACUGUGGUUCCUUUGCUAAGGCAAUGGCACCAGCGUUGUCACAGAACAAGGUUAUUGGAUUCAGUGCGCUUGGCACCACUCCAAGAUCCGUCAUGAACUGCUUCAUCCAGACACCCUCCUUAGCCGCCUCCGAGGCAGCCAUGUACUCCGCUUCACAUGUAGAAUCUGCUAUGACGCUUUGCUUGGAACUGCGCCAGCUUACUGCACCCCCAUUGAGAAUAAAUACGUAUCCGGUUUGCGAGUUAGAGUCGUCCGGAUCUGUGUCAAAGCUUGCAUCGACGUAACCUUUUACGGCGAGCUCUUCGUCACCUCCAUACACGAGAAACAUCUCCUUAGUCCUUUUCAGGUACUUCAGGAUAUUCUUGACCGCUGUCCAGUGAUCCACUCCUGGAUUACUCUGGAACCUACCUGCCAUACUUAUGGCCAGGCUAACAUCCGGUCUAGUGCACAGCAUCGCAUACAUGAUAGAACCUAUGGCUGAAGCAUAGGGCACGGAGCGCAUAUGCUCUCUAUCUUCAUCAGUUGCUGGGCACUGAGUCUUACUCAAUCUCGUACCUUGUAGAACUGGCAAGAACCCUUUCUUGGACUGUUCCAUUUUGAACCUCUUCAAAACUUUAUCAAGGUAUGUGCUUUGUGAAAGUCCUAUCAGGCGUUUUGAUCUAUCCCUAUAGAUCUUAAUGCCUAGAAUGUAAGCAGCUUCUCCUAGGUCCUUCAUAGAGAAACUUUUAUUCAAGUAAUCCUUUAUGCUCUCUAAAAACUCUACGUUGUUCCCAAUCAGUAAUAUGUCAUCCACAUAUAAUAUUAGAAACGCCACAGAGCUCCCACUCACUUUCUUGUAAAUACAAGAUUCUCCAACCACUUGUAUAAACCCAAAUGCAUUGAUCACCUCAUCAAAGCGUUUGUUCCAACUCCGAGAUGCUUGCACCAGUCCAUAAAUGGAUCGCUGGAGCUUGCACACCUUGUUAGCAUUCUUAGGAUCGACAAAACCGUCGGGUUGUAUCAUAUACAAUUCUUCCUUAAGGAAACCGUUAAGGAACGCCGUUUUGACAUCCAUCUGCCAGAUUUCAUAAUCGAAAAAUGCAGCUAUUGCUAACAUGAUUCUGACGGACUUAAGCAUCGCUACGCGUGAGAAAGUCUCAUCGUAGUCAACUCCUUGAACUUGUGAAAAACCCUUUGCCACAAGUCGAGCUUUAUAAACGGUCACAUUACCGUCAGCGUCCGUCUUCCUCUUAAAGAUCCAUUUGUUCUGAAUGGCCUUGCGGCCCUCAGGCAGUACCUCCAAAGUCCACACUUUGUUCUCAUACAUGGAUCCUAUCUCGGACUUCAUGGCUUCCAGCCAUUUGUUGGAAUCUGGGCCCACCAUUGCUUCUUCAUAAUUCGCAGGUUCAUUGUUUUCUAACAACAUGAUUGAUAAGACGGGAUUACCGUACCACUCUGGAGCAGCACGUGGUCUUGUCGACCUGCGUGGUUCGACAGAAACUUGAACUGGAGUUUCAUGAUCAUCAUCAUUAACUUCCUCCUCAACCGGCGUCGCAAUGACAGAGGUUUCCCCUUGCCCUGCGCAACCAUCCAGAGGGAUGAGAGGUUCGACAACCUCGUCAAGUUCUAUCUUCCUCCCACUCAAUUCUCUCGAGAGAAACUCCUUCUCGAGAAAAGCUCCGUUUUUAGCAACAAACACUUUGCCCUCGGAUUUGAGAUAGAAGGUGUACCCAACUGUCUCUUUUGGGUAACCUAUGAAGACGCACUUUUCCGCUUUGGGUUCCAGCUUUUCAAGCUGAAGCUUUUUGACAUAAGCAUCACAUCCCCAAACUUUAAGAAACGACAACUUUGGCCUUUUGCCAUACCACUGUUCGUAUGGUGUCGUCUCAACGGAUUUUGAUGGUGCCCUAUUUAAAGUGAAUGCAGCUGUUUCUAAUGCAUAGCCCCAAAAAGAUAACGGCAAAUCAGUAAGAGACAUCAUAGAUCGCACCAUCUCUAAUAGAGUACGAUUACGACGUUCGGACACACCAUUACGCUGUGGUGUUCCAGGCGGUGUUAACUGUGAAACAAUUCCACAUUGUUUUAAGUGAGCACCAAACUCGAAACUCAGAUAUUCACCCCCACGAUCAGACCGUAGGAACUUGAUCUUCUUGUUACGAUGAUUUUCCACUUGACUCUGAAAUUGCUUGAACUUUUCAAAUGUUUCAGACUUGUGCUUCAUUAAGUAGACAUAACCAUAUCUACUUAAAUCGUCAGUGAAGGUGAGAAAAUAACGAUAUCCGCCGCGUGCCUCCACACUCAUCGGACCACACACAUCGGUAUGUAUGAUUUCCAACAAGUCACUUGAGCGCUCCAUUGUUCCGGAGAACGGAGUCUUAGUCAUCUUGCCCAUGAGGCAUGGUUCGCACGUGUCAAGUGAAUCAAAGUCAAGUGACUCCAAAAGUCCAUCAGCAUGGAGUUUCUUCAUGCGCUUUACACCAAUAUGACCUAAGCGGCAGUGCCACAAAAAUAUGGCGCUAUCAUUGUUAACUCUAACUCUUUUGGUCUCAAUGUUAUGUAUAUGUGUAUCGCUAUCAAGAUUCAAUAUGAACACUCCUCUCACAUUCGGUGCAUGACCAUAAAAGAUGUUACUCAUAGAAAUAGAACAACCAUUAUUCUCUGACUUAAAAGAGUAACCGUCUCACAAUAAACAAGAUCCAGAUAUAAUGUUCAUGCUCAACGCAGGCACUAAAUAACAAUGAUUUAAGUUCAUCACUAAUACUGACGGUAACUGAAGUGACACUGUGCUGACGGCGAUUGCAUCAACCUUGGAACCAUUUCCUACGCGCAUCAUCACUUCAUCUUUCGCCAGCCUUCGCCUAUUCCGCAGUUCCUGUUUCGAGUUGCAAAUAUGAGCAACAGAACCGGCAUCGAAUACCCAGGCACUACUACGAGAGCCGGUUAAGUACACAUCAAUAACAUGUAUAUCAAAUAUACCUGAUUUUUCUUUGCCCGCCUUCUUAUCUGCCAAAUACUUGGGGCAAUUGCGCUUCCAGUGACCCAUACCCUUGCAAUAGUAACACUCCGUUUCCGGCUUAGGUCCAGCUUUGGGUUUCUUCGUCGGAUUGGCAACAGGCUUGCCGCUCUUCUUCGAAUUGCCCUUCUUGCCUUUGUCGUUUCUCUUGAAACUAGUGGUCUUAUUCACCAUCAACACUUGAUGCUCUUUACGGAGUUCAGACUCUGCGACUUUCAGCAUCGCAAACAACUCGCCGGGAGACUUGUUCAUCCCUUGCAUGUUGUAGUUCAACACAAAGCCUUUCUAGCUUGGCGGCAGUGAUUGAAGGAUUCUGUCAGUGAUAGCUUCUUGCGGGAGUUCAAUCCCCAGCUCAGCUAGACGGUUUGAGUACCCAGACAUUUUGAGCACAUGUUCACUGACAGAUGAGUUUUCCUCCAUCUUGCAAGCAUAGAAUUUAUCGGAGGUCUCAUACCUCUCGAUCCGGGCGUUCUUCUGAAAGAUAAACUCCAACUCCUGGAACAUCUCAAAUGCUCCAUGACGCUCAAAGCGACGUUGAAGUCCCGGUUCUAAGCCAUACAAGACUGCACAUUGAACUAUUGAGUAGUCCUCCUUACGUGCUAACCAAGCGUUCUUAACAUCCUGAUCAGCCGUAGCGGGUGGUUCAUCUCCUAACGCAGCAUUAAGGACAUAAUCCUUCUUCCUAGCUUGUAAGAUUAGCUUAAGAUUACGAGCCCAGUCUACAAAGUUGAUUCCAUCAUCUAUCAACUUAGCUUUCUCUAGGAACGUAUUAAAAUUCAGGAUGACUGUCGCGUGAGCCAUGAUCUACAACACAAAUAUAUUCAAAGUGGACUUAGACUAUGUUCAAGAUAAUUAGAGUUUAACUUAAUAAAAUUAUUCGCUAAACUCCCACUCAAAAAGUACAUCUCUCUAGUCAUUUGAGUGGUUCAUGAUCCACUUACACUAGCUCAAGUCCGAUCAUCACGUGAGUUGAGUAUAGUUUCAGUGGUAAGCAUCCCUAUGAUAAUCAUAUCAUCUAUAUGAUUCAUGAUCGACCUUUCGGUCUCAUGUGUUUCGAGGCCAUGUCUGCACAUGCUAGGCUCGUCAAGCUUAACCCGAGUGUUCCGCGUGCGCAACUGUUUUGCACCCGUUGUAUGUGAACGUUGAGUCUAUCACACCCGAUCAUCACGUGGUGUCUCGAAACGACGAACUGUAGCAACGGUACACAGUCGGGGAGAACACAAUUUCGUCUUGAAAUUUUAGUGAGAGAUCACCUCAUAAUGCUACCGUCAUUCUAAGCAAAAUAAGGUGCAUAAAAGGAUUAACAUCACAUGCAAUUCAUAAGUGACAUGAUAUGGCCAUCAUCACGUGCUUCUUGAUCUCCAUCACCAAAGCACCGGCACGAUCUUCUUGUCACCGGCGCCACACCAUGAUCUCCAUCAACGUGUUGCCAUCGGGGUUGUCGUGCUACUCAUGCUAUUACUACUAAAGCUACAUCCUAGCAAAAUAGUAAACGCAUCUGCAAGCACACACGUUAGUAUAAAGACAACCCUAUGGCUCCUGCCGGUUGCCGUACCAUCGACGUGCAAGUCGAUAUUUCUAUUACAACAUGAUCAUCUCAUACAUCCAAUAUAUCACAUCACAUCAUUGGCCAUAUCACAUCACAAGCAUACCCUGCAAAAACAAGUUAGACGUCCUCUAAUUUUGUUGUUGCAUGUUUUACGUGGUGACCAUGGGUAUCUAGUAGGAUCGCAUCUUACUUACGCAAACACCACAACGGAGAUAUAUGAGUUGCUAUUUAACCUCAUCCAAGGACCUCCUCGGUCAAAUCCGAUUCAACUAAAGUUGGAGAAACCGACACUUGACAGUCAUCUUUGAGCAACGGAGUUACUCGUAACGAUGAAACCAGUCUCUCGUAAGCGUACGAGUAAUGUCGGUCCAAGCCGCUUCAAUCCAACAAUACCGCGGAAUCAAGAAAAGACUAAGGAGGGCAGCAAAACGCACAUCACCGCCCACAAAAACUUUUGUGUUCUACUCGAGAAGACAUCUACGCAUGAACCUAGCUCAUGAUGCCACUGUUGGGGAACGUCGCAUGGGAAACAAAAAAUUUCCUACGCGCACGAAGACCUAUCAUGGUGAUGUCCAUCUACGAGAGGGCAUGAGUGAUCUACGUACCCUUGUAGACCGUACAGCAGAAGCGUUAGAGAACGCGGUUGAUGUAGUGGAACGUCCUCACGUCCCUCGAUCCGCCCCGCGAACAAUCCCGCGAUCAGUCCCACGAUCUAGUACCGAACGGACGGCACCUCCGCGUUCAGCACACGUACAGCUCGACGAUGAUCUCGGCCUUCUUGAUCCAGCAAGAGAGACGGAGAGGUAGAUGAGUUCUCCGGCAGCGUGACGGCGCUCCGGAGGUUGGUGAUGACCUUGUCUCAGCAGGGCUCCGCCCGAGCUCCGCAGAAACGCGAUCUAGGGGAAAAACCGUGGAGGUAUGUGGUCGGGCUGCCGUCGAAAAGUCAUCUCAAAUCAGCCCUAAAACCUCCGUAUAUAUAGGUGGGAGGGAGGGGACCUUGCCUUGGGGCUCAAGGAGCCCCAAGGGGGUCGGCCGAGUCCAAGGGGGGAGGACUCCCCCCCCAAACGGAGUUGGACUUGGUUUGGUGGGAGGGAGUCCCCCUUCCUUCCCACCUCCUCGCUUUUUUUUUUCUUUUCUCUCUUGAUUUUUUCUCCUUGGCGCAUAGAGCCCUUUUGGGCUGCACCACCAGCCCACUAAGGGCUGGUGUGCCACCCUCAAGGCCUAUGGGGCCUUUCCCCCGGGGGGGUGGGGUUUCGCCCCCCCCCCGGGUGAAACCUCCCCGGGAACCCAUUUCGGUCAUUCCCGGGUACAUUCCCCGGGUAAACUCCCGAAAAACCUUUCCGGAAAUCAAAUGAGGUCAUCCUAUAUAUCAAAUCUCGUUUCCGGACAUUUCCGGGAAACCCUGUNACGUCCGUGAUCUCAUCCGGGAUCCGAANACNUCGUACACANNNNNNNNNNNNNNNNNNNNNNNNNNNNNNNNNNNNNNNNNNNNNNNNNNNNNNNNNNNNNNNNNNNNNNNNNNNNNNNNNNNNNNNNNNNNNNNNNNNNAAAUUUGAAAUACCUUUGAAUGAUUCCAAGUUGUAUUAGUAGGUGUGGCAUUACUCUUAAGAAAGUGAGAUCCAUACCCACUUGCGCAGUCUAGACCCAUCUUUAGAGGAGAAACUGAUGGUCCAAUUACUCAUUUCCACCUGCAUUUGUUUGCCGCCAUCCGUUUCUUGCAGGGAAGGAGAUCAUGGGGGGAGAGAAGCCGAACAAUAAGAGGUAGUAGAGCAGACCUGAUUCUAAGGCUGUCUAACAACGUGCCAUGUUCCAGGUGGGCUUUUCUUUAGGGCAUAUAUUAGCAUAUGUGCCAAUUGGCUGGCAACUUAUAUCUCUAGCAGGCCACAUGCCUAUAUCCCAUGGGCCACGCAUGAAUGGAACAUGCACUAGUAGCGGUUAGUGGAACGGAGAGAUGCCCGAGGGGAAGCACCAGAAGCCAAAGAAUUAGGUAAUGGGCACAGCUAUUUACUGAGGAGACGAAGUGAACUUAUGCAGAACAUAGGCAUAGAGUUAUAUUACGUGGUCAGCGAUUGACCCCAUACAGAUUGGAACCUGACGAGUUGUUUGAUUUCUGUUGAGGUGAAGGCUGCAAGUUGAAUGAACGCCGACGUGACAUCAUGAUGAUUGUAAACAGUCUGCAUGUAGAGAGAAUUGCUAGUAGUGGUGAUCAACUUCUUAAAAAUGUAGGAUUUAGUGUAAACUGCAUGGAAAUAUUACUAGAAAAUGGUACAAAAUAAACUGUACUUAUCAGUCUGAAUAUCCACUUGAGGUGUGAAUGUAAUAUCCCACAAGAGUCUGUUCGUGUGUAAUUUCCUAGGUCUUUCCACUUAAAUCGGCACAAGUCUUUUGAGGUUUUCCCCCGUAAAGUCUCUUGAGAGUUAAUGUAAUAGCUCUCUAGCUAGCUAAUAAGUCUUGAUAUUCUACAUAAACAGCUACUGGUAUGCAGAUGGUAUACCUGUUAUGGCGGAUUUUUUCUUGAUUUGACUAGCCGAUGUGUAUAUAUAUGGUAGAUUUUUCCUUGAUCGUUCCAAGUUGGAGUAAAAUUUAAGUUCUGAAAGCAUCAAGUCAAGUCAUUUACAUGUAGAGUUUGGACGAUAUACACUUCCUGAUAAUUGAUUGGGCUAUUCGCUAAUUAACUAGUACAAAAUAAUCUUGGUAUUUCGUUCUGAGAAGAAAUGGACAAAUUAAUUCCCAACUGUUUCAACAAUGAAUACCUUUUUCUCGCAAUAGUCAUGGACAACCCAUUACAAUAACUAGAGGAUACCCCACGCGUUGCCGCCGGAAUUGGUUGAUGAAAUUCAGGGUUGAUAAUAUGAAAACUAAAAUUUAAAAUACAUAUUACUUACUACAUUUGAUUAUGUAUGGUUUUAAUAAUAUAUUUAAUAAAUAUAAGUAGAAUAACUAAGUGAGAAGGUAUUUUUCAUACAUGGUUGAAUGUUUAGGUUGGCUACAUUCAGAUUUUUCGCAUGUGUUGGUGCAAAAUUCAAACAUUGUUUUAACUUGCAAGUAAUGCUUUGUUAUAAAAAAAUGCUUUUUAAGAUCAGACUAGUCGUACAAAAUCAUACCAAAGGUGUUGUAUGCAUCCUUCUUAAUGUACUACUGAUAUGAAUUUCUACCAGAACUUAGUGUGCGUCUCUCUAUUGUGGCCGGGUACAAUUCGGAUAUUGUUCGGUCGUGCUGACGGGAAGUGACAUGUCAAUUAUUUUUUCCAUUACAACACACGGUCAUAUUUGCUAAUUAAAUGCUAACAAAAAAAACAUGUUAGUUAAGCUAGAUUAUGAUAAUACACGCAUGACCAAACACAUCCUUAAACACGACGGCGAAAAGUAUGUUCAGCUGCACAUUUGCUAGUAUGCGGGUCGUCCAUGACUGUAUACAUGUUACUUUUGCUACUUAUUACGGUCCGUUUUCUUCACUCAAUAAUGUGACAUGACCGAGUCUGUGCAUGACAGUGUGAAUUUCCCGUUAUUACAUGGUCAAUGAAAUAGAACAUAUGUGCAUGGCUGUUCUUAUACGGCAAUCAAAACAGUAAUAAGAUAGUUCUACUGAGUCACAACGUCCUUGCUUCCGGUAUAAUUAAAGAAGUGACGACAACGUCAGUUCCCAAUGGUCAUGCCACGUGGCUUUUUUUUGUCGAGAGUACCUCUCGGCGUAUGCUCCGUUUGUCGUUCGGUGCGUGUCCGCUAUGAAGCAUGCACUGCUGGCAAAGGGACGUUGUUGUCGUGAACCAGCGUUUGUCAAGGGUAGCUUUCGACAUAUAUUUGUUUGUCGAGAGCGAGAGCCAAACAGCCGGCGUAUAUGAAAAAUCCAGUAGUGAGUAGUGGUGAUCAACUUUUUAAAAACGUUGGAUUAGUGAAAACUGCACGAAAAUAUUACUAGAAAAUGGUACAGAACAAACUGUACUUAUCAGUCUGAAUAUUCACUCGAGGUGUGCAUGUAUGGCCUGUUUGGUCCAAACCAUACUUUAUCAAGUCAAAAUUUAACAGCCAUAGCUUAGUUGGCAUGUUUUUGAUUUUUGCAAUACUUUAUUGUCUCUAUGGCCCAUUUGACAUAGAGUUAAAAUUUCUUGCCAACUUUUAUCAAAGUUUGGCGUUCGUUUUUUCAGCCACUCUUUGUGGCUUGGCACACUUUGAUGGCUUGUCAACUUUGGCUUGACAAAAUUAGUCUUCAACCAAACAGGCCCGUAAUAUCCCACUAGAGUCUGAUAGUGUGUAAUUUCCUAGAUCUUUCCACUUCAAUCUGCACAAGUCUUUGAGGGUUUUCCCCCGUAAAGUCUCUUGAGAGUUAAUGUAAUAGCUCUCUAGCUAGCUACUAGGCCUUGAUAUUCUACAUAAACAGCUACUGGUAUGCAGAUGGUAUACCUGUCAUGGCGGAUUAUUUCGUGAUUUGACUAGCCGAUGUGUAUAUAUAUGGUAGAUUAUUCAUUGAUCGUUCCAAGUUGGAGUAAAAUUUAAUUUCUGAAAGCAUCAAGUCAAGUCAUUUACAUGUAGAAUUUGGAGGAUAUACAUUUCCUGACAAUUGAUUGGGCUAUUCGCUAAUUAACGAGUACAAAAUAAUCUUGGCCAAACGCAUCCUUAAGCACGACGGCGAAAAGUAUGUUCAGCUGCACAUUAGCUAGUAUGCGGGUGGUCCAUGACUAUAUACAUGUUACUUUUGCUACUUAUUACGGUCCGUUUUCUCCAUUCAAUAAUGUGACAUGAUCGGGUCGAUCAUCGCAUGACAGUGUGAAUCAUCCGUUAUUCCGUGGUCAAUGGAAUAGGACAUAUGUGCAUGGCUGUUCUUAUACGGCAAUCAAGACAACAAUAAGAUAGUUCUAUUACUGAGAAUCUUCAUUUCAUUGAUUGAUCUUGGUUGAACUUUUCUAACGAAUUUUUGUGGUUCAUCAUGCCAGUUCGCUACUCAGUGGCUGUUAAUACACGCAGACAAAUGGAUACUCUCUAGUCUCCAACUGUACGUGCGAACAUGGAAUUUCGUCUUACAGACAUCUAUACUUUGCCGUGGGUUACUUGUUGGCUUUUGAACAACUCUAGAUCAACAAACCAGAGAGCAGCGGCACACGCUAGUUCAAAGCUAGCAAGCUGAUAGGCUAAUAGCUGGAUGGAUCCUUUCACUACGUAGGAUUAGUACAUGCAUAGACGUACGUAGCAGCACGCCGGCACGCCUCCGGCAAGACGCACGCACACGAGAACACGAGCACACGCGAUUGGAUUGCCGUAGGCACGAUGUCUCGUGCCUGUUAAACUUUGUAUUGCUUUUCUUUUUUUGGUGUUAUAAGCACCACCCCUAAGGUGCCUUUUAUACACAUCCAUAAGGGACUAUGGAAAUAGACUAGGAUAUCCAAAUACUACUAGGACUCGAUUUGGCUUUUUUCCUAAUCCUAUGCGUACAGGGCAACGUGAUUAACUCACAUUCAUCCCCUAAUCACGAUGUCCUUAUUUAUGACCUGGGUCCCAAACACGAUUGUUGCUUCUCAUAACUGUUAUCAUCGGUAUGGCCUUUGCCGUCCCUUGCAGCAUUUCAUGGACUAUCUUUACUAUCGUCGGCUCGUCCGUAGCUUUAUGACAACACUCCUUUUUAGUCGUGUCUUCAAUCUUUACCUCUUCUUCGGUGCUUUGUAGACUGUCCUUCGGAUCAUCGAUGGCACAUCUUUUGAACCUGAGCGUGACCAUACUUUGGUCUAACUUUGAAUUCCAAGCUCUUGGCGCUUGCAUCAGCCCGUAAAGUGCCUUCUUGAGCUUGUCAACUUCCGUUUGUUCGUUUUUCUUCUCGUACCUGAGGGGUUGUUCUACAUACACUUCUUCUAUGAGAUUGCCGUUGAGGAAAGCGGAUUUAACAUCCAUAUGAUGAACCUUCCAAUCCUCUUGUGCUGCCAAAGCUAGGAGCACUCUCACCGUCUCGAGUCGAGCAACCGGUGCAAACACCUCAUCAUAGUCAACUCCUUGACGUUGUACAUACCCCUUUGCAACGAGUCUUGCCUUGUACUUCACAAUGGCACCCUUCGUGUCCUUCUUUAACUUGUAAACUCACUUCAAACCUAUCGCGUUUUGGUUUGGAGGUCGGGUUACCAAAGUCUGCGUGCCAUUGCUCUCAAUCGCCUUCAUCUCCUCAUCCAUGACGUGCGUCCAGCUAGGACUUUUGCUCGCCUCUACGAAGUUCGUCGGCUCCUCAACUACGAACAGACAUAGUACGGAGUACUCGAGCGUAACUGGCUUUGUGUACUUGUAGACUUUCUUGAGGGUCUUGUAGCGACGAGGCCCUGAGGAGUCCGUUGUGGCUUGCGAAGGAGGCGACACAAAUUGUGUCUGUGUUGAUGCACUUGAGGAAGACGGCUGAGUCCCAGGUGUGUCAUCGUUAUCCGUGUCGUUGGCGUAGUCGGCAGGACCGUGACCAUCAUCUUGAUUGUCGUCGUUACUAUGCGCCUCAUUGUCGAUGUUGUCGUCAAGAUCUCCGCAUGUGCCGUGCUCGUCGUUGUCACUAUCUCCUUACGACCUAUGCACGUCGUCGUCGGUGUCGGCACCAUGAUGAUCACUACCAUUGUGGUCACCUUGGUUGGGUGUCUUACCAACCACCUGGACAUCCUCCCCUGCAUCAUCAUCAGUUGGAAAUUCAACCGUGAAUAUGUUACUGUUUGGAGCAUCGUCGGUUGCGGCGCUCCAAUUCCACGCUUGGUUUUCUUCAAACACAACGUCGCGUGAAAUCCAUAGACGCUUGGUUUGUGGAUCGUAGAAGCGGUAUGCCUUGGUGCCGGAACUCCUCUCGUAUCCGAUGAACACCAUCUUGGUGCUACGAUCGGCAAGCUCUGAGAGGUGCGGCUUCGCCGUCUUCACAUGUGCCACGCACCCGAACGUCCGUAGAUGAGACACAUUCGGCUUACGUCCGUAAAUUGCUUCAUACGGAUUCUUGCCGAUCACCGCCUUCGUUGGAGCCCGGUUGAGAAGAUAGACUGCCGUCGAGACAACUUCUCCCCAAAAGGUCCCCGCCAGGUUCUUGCUCUUGAGUAAACUCCUUGCCAUGUCAACGACGGUUCGAUUGCGCCUUUCAACGACCCCGUUAUGUUGUGGCGUAUAAGGUGCCGUGAGGAACCUUUUUAUGCCAACCUUCUCGCAGUAGUCGUUGAACUCGUUCGACGUAAACUCUCCGCCACGAUGUGUCCGUAGAGCGCGAACCUUCAACUUGUGUUCCAUCUCCGUUGCAGCCUUCAGCUUCUUGAACACUUCAAACGCCUCAUCUUUAGAUCGUAGGAGAAUGACCCAAAUAUAUCUCGAGUAGUCAUCUACCACAAGGAAGAAGUACUUCUUUCCUCCCUGAGUUGCCGGGGUGAUAGGGCCACAUAGAUCACCAUGGAGCAGCUCGAGUGCAUCACUUGCACGAUAGGUAGACUCAGCAGGGAACGACAUGCGGUGUUGUUUCCACAAGCACCCGBCACCGUACUCGAUCACNNNNNNNNNNNNNNNNNNNNNNNNNNNNNNNNNNNNNNNNNNNNNNNNNNNNNNNNNNNNNNNNNNNNNNNNNNNNNNNNNNNNNNNNNNNNNNNNNNNNUAGAAAUCCUCUUGGAAUUUAGGUACCGGGCUGCCACGUCCAUGGUUUUGCAUACCCGGGCUAUGUAUUUUUUUUAUUAUGGGUGAAUAAAUGAGCUAGGGUGUUUAUCUGAAANAGGGCUACAAAAAAUUAGAGCUUAUAUACUAGCCUAUGUAGAACUUUAAGGGGGCAACAAAAUAGUACACUUACUUUGUUAGAUCACAUUGCGACCUCAAACGGACUGAGCAUGCUUUCAUGGAAAAUUAUUUAAUUUAUCAACAUUUUUUGUCGUUUAGGGAAAAAGUAACUAGUGGGACUUCAUGUGUCCGAUAUAGCAUGCAAAUAUGCAUCUCACUACGCAUAGUCCGSUUUUUGUUAUAGUUGCAUUGGUUGAUCCCACGAUGGAUUGAAACAAGCGGGCACCCAUUACGAGAUGGGGAGCGGCCCGGCCAAAUAUGUCAUCGUAGUCAAAUGCUUGCAGUAGACAUGCCUUUUACAUCGCUAAGCUACACACGGCUAAGAAAAUUCCAUAUUCUCACGAAUUAAGCAGCCAACGAGUGAGAACAUGACUCACCCUAGCUCAUUUUUUUGCCCCCUUAAAGUUCUACAUAGGCUAGUAUAUAAGCUCUAAUUUUUGUAUCUUCUUUCCGAUAAACACCCUAGCUCAUUUAUUCAUCCAUAAUAAAAAACAUAUCCUGGGGUAUCCAAACCCUGGACGUGGCAGCCCGGGACUAAUAAAAAAAAUAUUCUAGCAAUAUUAUGGGUAUCUAGAUUAUCCUCUCCUUUUGAUAACAAAAGACUAUAUCUCCUAGCUCCUUCUCAUACUCCUAAUCUCCUUGCUAAUCAUCACAUUUGCACACAUGCUCCCUUGUGAAUAGCAAAAAAAAACGGAAUGUAUACUUUGUGAUAAACAUUGACGAAUAUUUCAACUGCAAAUAUAAUUUUGUGAUAAAAUGACAUUUAUGGCGGCCUGGGCGAAAACAACCUGAAUCGGUGCUUCAAAAGGCUUCUAAGUUCUAACAUAGUAUUUUGAGAGCAUCGAUUUUUUUUUUGGACCAGACCUCCCUGAAAUGUCAUUUCAUCACGAAAUUUUGUAUGUGGGUGAAGAAUUCAUCAACGUUCAUUAAAAACUCUUAUUUUUUAUAAAGAAAAAACUAUCUUUAAUUUGACCAGUUAUCAGGUUGCAUGUGAGCUCGGAUCAAAAACUCCAUGUCCUCCUCCUCUACUUCCUUUAUUAGUAGCUCUAACAACCUCCAAGCAGUCCUAUGCAACCACUGCCUUCCACAGGUUAAUUAAGAUCCGGAGCUAGACGCAACGAUUACCAAUAAGCGAAAGAUUCUGCACAACUAGGAUCGAUGGUGCCCUCGAUCACUAGGACCGAAGCCGCCAAGAAAACCCCUCCUAGAAGCCCAACUUCCCAUCAUGACAUCUGCAUGACUACGGUCAAAAACACAUUAUGGUUGAAAUUUCACUUCCAUAUUUACAGUAGCAUGAUGGAAAUGUUUGUAUCCUAUCCACAGUCGGAUUGUACAUGUAAUAUUUGCUCGUACUGGCUAGUGCAGUUAGAACCGCUCCCGUAAUUAAGGGCAACUCGCGGGCUGCUGGUGCACGCUGGCCAGAAUAAGAGCAACACCUGCUGUGCCAUAUACGCGUGCAGGCGUGCCGAGGUCGAGCUCCAGUGGACAACAGCGGCUCGGCCAAGUAGUUCGUUGUCGCCAAUGGUUGGUUUUACGCUGCUAACCUACAGAGGACACUAAGAAAACCUAUUCUCACGUCCAAGUGGAAUGAAUAUCUCUUUGUCCGUGUGUACGUUUGCACAGCCGCGAAGUAAGGAGUCAGCGGGUGAAAUCACAGCAAGCUCACCACAAAAACGAGUUAGAAAGUUCAACCGAGAUCAAUUAAUGGGACAAAGAUUGCCAAUGAAAAUCUAUUACCGCUGCCUUGAUUACACUAGAAAAAUAGGCAGGCAUACCAGUAUCUAUUCCAUUGACUGAUAGUCAAGUGGAUGGUUCACUGUCGACAAAACAUCUAUUGACUCGCACUCGAAGGCAGCAAAUAUAUAGAAAGGGAGUUUAUGGAUUUAGAGGUAGUGGCAAGGCAUUAGCAGUAGACUAUGUUCAAUUUUUGUAUAUGGUGCGUCAAUUUUUUUAAAAGAUUUUACGCAUUUGUAAUGCUUCCAUCCAUUUUUUUAAGUGGGCGAGGGCUUUUAGGUGUCCAUUUUGACUAAUCUAACAUAUAUUAUAAGCUCAAAAAUAUAUAUUUAGAUUCUUCAUCAAAUGAAGUUUCUAUAGGUGUUGCAUGACCUUACUUUUUAUGCAGACCUAUAUAUUUUUUAAAUACAUGAUCAUAGGCAGUUUUUGCGUUUAUAUUAGUGAAGAAACCCAGCCUAAGGUGUGAUUCGGCACUGCUCCUAGGACUAGCCAAAUUUUCUCUUUGUAGCACCACAAAAAUCGUCCAUAGGGCUUUAUUUUUUACGGGUUUCGUUUAUUGAAGAGUUAACAUAUAGCUGCAAUCUUGUGUACUUCGUUCAUGCCUAAACCAAACAAAGUGUGCUUACGGAAGCAUAAUUUUUAUCUGUACUCGCAAUACCCAGAUUACAUACUAUAGUUUUUCUUAUUUUUCAAUUGCUUCGAGAUAUGAGACCUUCAUGGCCUUGUUGAUCAUGCGCUGGCCCGGUCAAUAAAACUGUGGAAUUAGCUUAGUGAUUGCAUAUAUGCACAACCUCGACGAUGUGGACGCGCCAGGUCCAUGCGUUUUGAGAAGCAGGCCGGUGUUGGAAAAAGUAGUGAAAGAAAAAAAAACCACUAGAUUGGAACCAACGAUCCAAAUUGGACAAUGUGGGAGCCGUUCGGCUGUAAUCCUUAAUCCUUACCAUUGAUAAUUUACUUUACUUGAUAACAAAAGGUGCUCCUCAUUGAUAUAUUUUUAAACAUCUAAACAUGCCNNNNNNNNNNNNNNNNNNNNNNNNNNNNNNNNNNNNNNNNNNNNNNNNNNNNNNNNNNNNNNNNNNNNNNNNNNNNNNNNNNNNNNNNNNNNNNNNNNNNAUUUUACAAAAUUAUCAUGUUUUAAAGGUUAUUUAUUGUGUGCAAAAUGUUGAAUAUUUGUUUUAGAAUAUAUGCAUAAUUUUCUAAAAGUUUGACCUAGUAUUUAAAAAGCAUAUAUUUAAAAACAUUAUAGUACAAUUUCGAAACUAAUUCUUAUUUAUUAAAAGUUAGUUUCCAUGGUUUAAAAUUAUCCAUUAUACAUUCAGAAAUAUCCAUCUUAUAUUUAAAACAUGUUUUAAUGUAUGAAAUAUAAAAUAUUGUCCGUGUAUUUAAAGUUGUUCUUAUCUUUUCAAAAAUGUUCAUCAUGCAUUUUAAAACGUGGAUAGUGUAAUUCCCAAAACCAAAGUCAUGUAUUUAUAAUGUUUCAUCGUGUAUUUUCCAAAUGACCAUGCAAUGCACAGAUAUUCGUUUAAUUUGAAAAGUGAUUGUGUAUUUAGAAAAAGUAUGCAUAUGUUGUAAACAUUAUUCAUGGAUUAUUCAUGAAACCGAAAGCCAAAGAAGAACGAAAACACCAAAAAGGAAAGAAAAGAACACAAAGAACAAAAGAUAAAGCCAAAACAAAAAAUAUGAAUAUAUAAAUAAAAACAAAAAAUAAACAAUAGGAAAAAUGGACAAAAAAAGUAAGACAAUUACAAUCGAUGAACCAACGAAAUCACUAGUUAAGAAUUAUCCUUUGCAAAGGUCACUCUCCAACUUUUCAUGCGCUGACAAGUGGGGCACUAGUAACCUAGGAGUUUUUCUUUUGCGUAGAUUCGUUUAUCAAAAGGUUUCAUCUUUUGAACCAUGGGUCGAAAUAACGAAUCAUUUUCACUCUUUGAUUUCUCGUGUCGAGAUUUUUGGAACUAGAUCCUUUGUUAGUAGGUUUUCGUGGACUCUUGUUAAUGUAAAAAUCAGGUGAGAACCAUGUGUCGGCCUUGUGACGUGAGUAGCGAUGGAGGUGGUUGCGGUUGUUGUUGACCUUCUUGGAGGCAUUGCUGCUUAGUUGUCGCACCCCUCUCGCAUGGAUCUAGUCGACGAUGCAGCUUGGGGGGGGGACCCUUAUCCCAGGUGAUGGGACGAUUGCGACGCCUUGGUGUCGUUUUCCCUCUAGGGGGCUUCAUCUUUGAAGCUGGGCAUCGACAUGCGGGGCUAGUGGAUGGCGUCGGUGUUUGCAUUGAGGCUUCACUACCAACAAUAUUGGUGGUGAGCAAGGUCGGAGAUGUGGCGUCUGUUGAGGUAGUCGGCUCUUCUCCGUCGUGUCUGGGUGAUUGCCUCGGCUAUUUGUCGCGGUGAAGUCGAAGCUUAUGUGGUAGGGCCCGAUGGUAUACGAUGAUGGGUGACGGGUGGUCCAUUCAGUGAUCAUCCACGCCGCCAACCUUGUCUAGUUCUCCUUCAUAGUUCUCGGUCAGAAUUGGAGUUGCGCUGUCUUGUCGUGGGUGACUGAGUUCUAGCAUGGGUCUUCAUGUGGCUCCACUUGCCUUUUCAGUGUGGGUGGGGUUAUGAUUAUCUACGGUGAAGUCGGAGCCGUUUGCUCAAUGUUUUAGGGUUGGCGGUGAGGCCUACUAGGGAAGAAGUGAUGAUGAUGACACUUGCGCAGGGGCGGAGCGAGGCAAACAUCAAACCCUGGGCGGAGCGAGGCAAACAUCAAACCCGGGGCCGCCUUAAAAAAUAUCCUGAAUUUUGGUCUCAUACCCUUAAUAAUUGCUACACUCAACAAAGAAGAUGGGUCUCUUUACCCAGGCCCAGGCCCUGGGAGCUCGGGGUCCUGUCUCCGCCCCUGCGCUUGCGUGUUGUCUUGAUGAUGCCCUUGUCGCAAAGUAUGUGUGGGAUAUCCAGUGUGUGCUGCUCAGCGGUUUUUGUAAUUGUUUUUUUGCCCCGUAUUUUUCUUCUAUUAUUUAAUGGAUGAGGUAAAACUUUUCNCYAUUUAAAAAACUAUAUCUCCGUGUCUACGUAUGCGCAGCCGCGAAGUAAGGNGUCAGCGAGUAAAUCACAGCUAGCUNNNNNNNNNNNNNNNNNNNNNNNNNNNNNNNNNNNNNNNNNNNNNNNNNNNNNNNNNNNNNNNNNNNNNNNNNNNNNNNNNNNNNNNNNNNNNNNNNNNNAUUACGGACGUAGCCGAUGUGUCUCAUCUACGGACAUUCGGGUGCGUGGCACAUGUGAAGACGGCGGAGCCGCACCUCUCAAAGCUUGCUGGUCGUAGCACCAAGAUGGUGUUCAUCCGAUACGGGAGCAGUUCUGGCACCAAGGCACACAGGGGMUACGAUCCACAAACCAGGCGUCUACGGAUUUCACGCGACGUCGUGUUUGAAGAAAACCAAGCGUGGAAUUGGAGCGCCGCAGCCGACGAUGCUCCAAACAGUAACAUAUUUGCAGUUGAAUUUCCAACUGAUGAUGAUGCCGGGGAGGAUGUCCAGGUGGUUGGCAAGACGCCCAACCAAGGUGACCACAAUGGUAGUGAUAAUCAUGGUGCCGACACCGACGACGACGCGCAUAGGUCGCAAGGAGAUAGCGACAACGCCGCGCACGACACAGGCGGAGAUCUCGACGACAACAUCGACAACGAGGCGCAUAGUGACGACGACAAUCAAGAUGAUGGUCACGGUCACGACGACUACGCCGAUGACAUGGAUGUCGAUGACACACCAGGGUCUCAAGUGCAUCAACACCGACACAAUUUGUGUCGCCUCCUUCGCAAGCCACAACGGACUCCUCAGGGCCUCGUCGCUACAAGACCCUCAAGAAAGUCUACAAGUACACAAAGCCAGUUACGCUCGAGUACUCCGGACUAUGUCUGUUCGGAGUUGAGGANCCGGCGAACUUCGUAGAGGCGAGAAAAGUCCUAGCUGGACGCACGCCAUGGAUGAGGAGAUGAAAGGUCCUAAAGUUUUACGGGAACGUUAACGGACCCGUAAAAAAAGGUUUACGGGGGGUUAACCCNNNNNNNNNNNNNNNNNNNNNNNNNNNNNNNNNNNNNNNNNNNNNNNNNNNNNNNNNNNNNNNNNNNNNNNNNNNNNNNNNNNNNNNNNNNNNNNNNNNNGGAAGAUUAAGAAGAAGAAAGAAAAAGACGRAGARGARRAAAAGAGAGAAGAAAGAAGAAGAGAGAGAGAGAGAGAGAGAGAGAGAGAADAAUAAGAAGAAGAAGAAAGAAGAAGAGAGAGAGAAGAAGAUAGAAGAAGAAAGUAAAAGUAAAAAAAUUAAAUUUCUUAUUUGUUUUUCUUGUUCUCCUCUAUUCCUUUCUUCUUCUUCCUUUUUUUCUUUUUUUUUCUUCGAUUGAUUCUCUUCUAUUCCUUUCUUCUUCUCCUCUUUUUAUUUCUUCUUUUGUCUUCUUAUUUUUUAUCGGGUAUGUCGUUGACGAUAUACCCCUCCCGACCGAACUUCAACACGAGGGGGGGGGGUACCGAUAUACCCCCUGCCCGAUAACAUUAUUUUCCCAUGUAUAUGUAUGUCGCCUCGUUGUCGAUAUAACCGCCUCCCGGAUAACUUCCACAUGAGGGGCGGUCGAUAUAUAUCCACUCACGACCGCGAUAACUUAUACCACGGGAGCACCCCCCUGGGCCCUCUCGCUCGACCAAAACUCUCGAGGACGCCCAAACCCUAGAGAAAAAUGAUGUUCGUCUCCUACCCCCUCCCGUCGCGCCCCUAACCGACAAACUCUCUCGAGGCCACCCAAAUUUACCAAGUUAAAAGAGCGUUGUCAUCGAGGCCACCCCAAACCCUUGAAGCGUUGUGUCGAGGCCACCCCAAACCCUUGAAGCGUUGUCUAGGCCACCCCAAACCCUAGAGAAGCAGCGUCGAGGCCACUAACAUGAUUCUUUAUUGUGAUUAGCUAGCUAGUUCUACGUUUGCCACUAAUAUAUAUCCAUCUGUACCAUGUUUGAAUAAUAAUUGACAUGUAGUAAAUAUUUGCAGAAACUAUGGAUCACUCCCGAUAUGAAGCAACAGAAGCGAUGUUGGACAUGUUGUAAAUAUUUGCAGGUGGUUACCUCAAAGCCCGACCUUUGUGGGACAAGGCUGAGAAUGACCUGAUUGCUAAAGGGGUCAAACCAGAGACAUUGAGAUGGCCAGACCGUUGCUGGACUUGGUUCUUCGGGGUUGGCGGAACCUUGGACCCUGUAUCAGGGGAGUGCGUUUGGACGGAAGAGCAACUGCGAAUACCCGUCACGAAGCUUCAGCACUAUAUCGCCGCAGCACAGGAAGGGGCGUUCAUUCGAGACAGAGAGAAUGAAGAGCUCACAAUGGCCCUCGGGAAUCCUGAGCACCCUGGACGAACACGAGGCACGCCAGGCUCCCUUCCGUGGAAGGCUGGGUUUCCGGACGCAGGGGGUUACAAAACCCAGGAGAGGAGGAAGAAAGCGGAGCAUAGCCAACUGCAGGCGCUGCCCGAAAGGGUACAAGGGCUAGAGGAAUGAGAAGCAGAUUGCAGCAAACGACCUGCCGAAGCUUCCCCUGAAGCUAGCCGCCCAUCUCAGCGGAGAAGCAGCGUGGCUUCCACCAAGCAGACUCAGCAGCUGGAGCCUGUCUUCAUGUGCUACCCCGUGGAUGCUAUCACAGAGUCUCAACAUUGCCACCUUAUGACGCAAUGUAUGACAUUUAAAGUCAAGGUGGCUGUUGGCUCUGUUUUACCUAAUGAACCUGGCUCAACCUACCACGGCCAGCCGAUUCCAGAACGAUAUGCUAGGGUGAUGGUGGAUCAAAUAACGGAAGGAUUUGAGGAACUUGAGCGUGACCACCCUACGGGUGAAGGGGAGAUUCGGUUGGGUUCUUCUCUGAAGACUCCAUGCCUAUGGCGGAAGGAGCUCAUCCACCUUCCGAACUAUACGCCUCCGCCUCCUCCUCCUCCUCCGGCGAGUUAGGGCCCACCUCCUCCUCCGCCUCCUCCGACGAGUGAUCAGGGCACUCAGCCUCCUUCUCCGGCACGUGACGGCACUCCGCCUCCUUCUCCGCCUGCGCCGGCGCACCCUAGCAGCCAGCUGCCUCCUCCUUCACCGCCUCGUCAACAAGGGCUGAAGAGACCCACCGCCGCUCCGGCUCCUCCGGCGCGUAGUCCUCCUCCUGGUAAGAAAGGAAAGAUAGUCGCAGCCGCUCCGUCUGCUCCGACGUGUAGCAGUACAGCCAGAGGCAGGCAAUACAAAUACAGUCCUUCUCUGAAGCCUCUAGAGAAGUUACCAUACGAGAGGAGCCCGGAGGAAAACGAGAAGAUCGUGGAAGCCGAAGUGAAGAACUUCUUUGAAGGGGUGAAAGCAAAAAACAUCCACCUCCGGAGGAGAAGAUAGAUCCCGUAAAAGCAAAGCGUACUCUGGUUGCCCUGAAGAAACCACCAAAGUCUCCGACGAAAUGCAACUAUGAGCGCAUUAUUACAAAGUCAUUUAUCGAAUUGCACCGGUCGGAAAGUACUGUCAGUGAUCAAAGGUUAGCAGAACGACGAGCUGGGAAAAAAGUUGCCCAGCUCGGCGAACAAGCGAACCAAUCGUUCCCCCGCUCAAGGUGUCUAGCGAUAUCGUCGCUAAUCAUCCGGGGAUCUUGUUGCCUGGUACCAAUCCUGCAGAUUACCUGCCUGAUGAUGCACAUUUUGAUUUAUUGGAGGUGGACAAACACAAAUACGUGUACGGGAAGCCUCUCGUCAAAUUUGAAAGAUCUCUAACAACGAUGAUGUGAAGAUUCCAUGAUUGGUACAUGAAAACUUGCAAAGAGUCUGGGGGAGUAAUAUUUUGACGCUGGGAGUUAGAAAGGAGCAUGACCUCGUUGGACUUGAACUGUUGAUGGUUCCAUUUGAGGAGUUCUUCCGUUUUUUCAAUCUAAAGGCCUCGAUAAAUUAAUGAUCACUUGCUACUUCCUGUUAAGUAGUACUUACUUCGUUUCAUUAAGUCUCUAUAUAUAUGUUNNNNNNNNNNNNNNNNNNNNNNNNNNNNNNNNNNNNNNNNNNNNNNNNNNNNNNNNNNNNNNNNNNNNNNNNNNNNNNNNNNNNNNNNNNNNNNNNNNNNGCAUGCAAGCUUGCCGAUCGUAGCACCAAGAUGGUGUUCAUCGGAUAGGAGAGGAGUUCCGGCACCAAGGCAUGCCGCUUCUACGAUCCACAAACCAAGCGUCUAUGGAUUUCACGCGACGUCGUGUUUGAAGAAACCAAGCGUGGAAUUGGAGCGCCGCAACCGACGAUGCUCCAAACAGUAACAUAUUCAUGGUUGAAUUUCCAACUGAUGAUGAUGCAGGGGAGGAUGUCCAGGUGGUUGGUAAUGUUGGGGAACGUCGCAUGGGAAACAAAAAAUUUCCUACGCGCACGAAGACCUAUCAUGGUGAUGUCCAUCUACGAGAGGGGAUGAGUGAUCUACGUACCCUUGUAGACCGUACAGCAGAAGCGUUAGAGAACGCGGUUGAUGUAGUGGAACGUCCUCACGUCCCUCGAUCCGCCCCGCGAACAAUCCCACGAUCAGUCCCACGAUCUAGUACCGAACGGACGGCACCUCCGCGUUCAGCACACGUACAGCUCGACGAUGAUCUCGGCCUUCUUGAUCCAGCAAGAGAGACGGAGAGGUAGAUGAGUUCUCCGGCAGCGUGACGGCGCUCCGGAGGUUGGUGAUGACCUUGUCUCAGCAGGGCUCCGCCCGAGCUCCGCAGAAACGCGAUCUAGAGGAAAAACCGUGGAGGUAUGUGGUCGGGCUGCCGUCGAAAAGUCGUCUCAAAUCAGCCCUAAAACCUCCGUAUAUAUAGGUGGGAGGGAGGGGACCUUGCCUUGGGGCUCAAGGAGCCCCAAGGGGGUCGGUCGAGUCCAAGGGGGGAGGACUCCCCCCCCCAAACCGAGUUGGACUUGGUUUGGUGGGAGGGAGUCCCCCUUCCUUCCCACCUCCUCCCUUUUUUUUCUUUUCUCUCUUGAUUUUUUCUCCUUGGCGCAUAGAGCCCUUUUGGGCUGCCCCACCAGCCCACUAAGGGCUGGUGUGCCACCCUCAAGGCCUAUGGGCUUCCCCGGGGUGGGUUGCCCCCCCCCCCCCGGUCGAACUCCCGGAACCCAUUCGUCAUUCCCGGUACAUUCCCGGUAACUCCGAAAACCUUCCGGUAAUCAAAUGAGGUCAUCCUAUAUAUCAAUCGUCGUUUCCGGACCAUUCCGGAAACCCUCGUGACGUCCGUGAUCUCAUCCGGGAUUCCGAACAACAUUCGGUAACCAACCAUAUAACUCAAAUACGCAUAAAACAACGUCAAACCUUAAGUGUGCAGACCCUGCGGGUUCGAGAACUAUGUAGACAUGACCCGAGAGGCUCCUCGGUCAAUAUCCAAUAGCGGGACCUGGAUGCCCAUAUUGGAUCCUACAUAUUCUACGAAGAUCUUAUCGUUUGAACCUCAGUGCCAAGGAUUCAUUUAAUCCCGUACGUCAUUCCCUUUAUCCUUCGGUAUGUUACUUGCCCGAGAUUCGAUCGUCAGUAUCCGUAUACCUAUUUCAAUCUCGUUUACCGGCAAGUCUCUUUACUCGUUCCGUAAUACAAGAUCCCGCAACUUACACUAAGUCACAUUGCUUGCAAGGCUUGUGUGUGAUGUUGUAUUACCGUAGUCGGGCCCCGAGAUACCUCUCCGUCACACGGANNNNNNNNNNNNNNNNNNNNNNNNNNNNNNNNNNNNNNNNNNNNNNNNNNNNNNNNNNNNNNNNNNNNNNNNNNNNNNNNNNNNNNNNNNNNNNNNNNNNCGAUACAUAUACCAUGGGAAAAUAAUGUUUAUCGGGCACGGGGGUAGUAUGGUACCCCCCCCCCUCCGUCGUUGAAAGUUCGGUCGGAGGGGGUAUAUCGUCUAACGACAAUACCCGAUAAAAAAUAAGAAGACAAAGAAGAAAUAAAAAAGAGGAGAAGAAGAAAGGAAUAGAAGAGAAUCAAUCGAAGAAAAAAAAAGAAAAAAGGAGAAGAAGAAAGGAAUAGAGGAGAAACAAGAAAAACAAUAGAAAUUUUCUUUUUUUUCUUCUUUCUCCUCUAUUCCUUUCUUCUUCUCCUCUUCUUUUUCUUCUUUUUUCCUCUUCUUAUUUAUUUCUCCUCUUCUUCCUCUCCUCUUCUUCUCCUUUCUUCCUCUUCUUAUUUUCCUUUUUCUCCUCUCCGUCUUUUUCUUCUUCUUCUUAUCUUCCUAGCUAUAUAUAAUACUUUUCUAAAAAUGUAACUUUUGCAUAUAUAAAUCUUUUUCUUCUUCUUCCUUCUUCCUUCUUCCUUCUCUUCCUUCUUUUCCUAAAUAUAUAAAACUUUUCUAAAAAUGAAACUAACCUAAAAUGUACUAAAUCAGAGAACAUAUAUAGAAAAAACUAACCUAAGAUGUACCCAAAUGUACUAAAAAAUCUAACUUUUAUAUGCAUAGAGAACAUACAUACAUAUAUACAUUUUUAUAAAAAUGAMAAAAAACAAAUCAUCAUUUAUAUGAACAAAUGAAAGGACAGGGGUGGGCGGCGCUGGCCUGACCAAGGAGAGGCACGACGCCGGCGUCGGUGUAGAGGGCGGCGACGGCGGCGUGGUCGGGGCAGGGGCGACGGCCAUCGACGGGGCAAAGGGCGGCGACAACGUCGACGGGGCGGGUAGGGGCGCGGUAGAGGNNNNNNNNNNNNNNNNNNNNNNNNNNNNNNNNNNNNNNNNNNNNNNNNNNNNNNNNNNNNNNNNNNNNNNNNNNNNNNNNNNNNNNNNNNNNNNNNNNNNAAUCUAAAUAUUYUUUAGCAAAUAAUACAUGUUUCGUUAGUCAAAAUGAAUUCCCAAAAGGCCGCACCCAACUUAAAAAACCUAUGGAGGCAGUACAAAUGUGUGGAAUAUUUAUUUAAAAACUGACGCACUAUAUAUAAACAUUGAACACAGCCUUCUGCUAAUGUAUUUUUCCUUUUUGAAAUUUACUGCUAAUGUCUUGCCAGUAUCUCUAAAUCAGUAAACUCCCUUUCUAUAUAGUUGCUGCCUUAGAAGACGAGAAGGUGUAUGGUCAGCAGAACGUUCCCUAAAGUGCAAGUGGUCGAGGACUCCAUAAUUAGUUGCAUACAUGUGAUUUUUGCUAGUUAUUACUGCUGUUCGUUUUUUCGUUUGUGUAAUGUGACACAACCAAAUCAAUAGAUGUUUUGUCGGAUAGUGAACCAUCCACUUGACAAUCAGUCAAUGGAAUAUAUACUGAUUGCCUCUUUUUCUACUGUAAUCAAGGCAAUGAUAAUAGAUUUCUCCAUCAUUGGCAAUCUUUGUCCCAUUAAUUGAUUUUGGUUGAACUUUAUAACUCGUUUUUGUGGUGAGCUAGCUGUGAUUUUACUCGCUGACUCCUUACUUCGCGGCUGCGCAUACGUAGACACGGAGAUAUAUUUUUUUAAAUGGAGGAAAAAGUUUUUCCUCAUCCAUUAAAUAAUAGAAGAAAAUCGGGCAAAAACAAUUACAAACCGCUGAGCAGCACACACUGGAUAUCCCACACAUACUUUGCGACAAGGGCAUCAUCAAGACAACACGCAAGCGCAGGGGCGAGACAGGACCCCGAGCUCCCAGGGCCUGGGGCCUGGGGUAAAGAGACCCCAUCUUACUUUGUUGAGUGUAGCAAUUAUUAAGGGUAUGAGACCAAAAUUCAGGAUAUUUUUAAGGCGGCCCGGGUUUGAUGUUUGCCUUCGCUCCGACCCCAGGGGUUUUGAUUGGUUUUGCCCUCGCUCCGCCCCUUGCGACAAGUGUCAUCAUCAUCAUUCGUCCUAGUCGCCUCACCGCCAANNNNNNNNNNNNNNNNNNNNNNNNNNNNNNNNNNNNNNNNNNNNNNNNNNNNNNNNNNNNNNNNNNNNNNNNNNNNNNNNNNNNNNNNNNNNNNNNNNNNUUUUUACUAAUACAAUUAAAACAAUGUUUUAAAUAAUUAAGAUGGAUAUUUCUGAAUGUAUAAUGGAUAAUUUAAACCUAUGGAAACUAAACUUUAAUAAAUAAGAAUAGUUUGAAUUGUACUAUAAUGUUUUUAAUUAUAUGCUUUUAAUACUAGGUCAAACUUUUAGAAAAUUAAUGCAUAUAUUACUAAAACAAAUAUUACAACUAUUUUUGCACAACUAAAUAAACUUAAMCYUUAAAMYAUGAUUAAUUUUWGUUAAAUUUWAGAAACAUUAUAUWUUUUUUAGUAGGUAACAAAACUGUAUAUUAGUUUUUUUAGAGUCUUAACAAAACUGUACAUACUGUCGUAGAAAAACAGUUCAUAGUGCAGCAUUUUUUUGAGCAAAACUAGCUAGGUUGUGUUGAUCAAUAACAAUGUUUAGAGGAAUGGCAAUUGGAUCAUGAGGAGAUCCCAACCACAUGUGCCUCCCUUGUGGAAGAGAGACACCAAACCUAGCUAGAUUAUGAGUUUCAACAUUAGAAGCUCGAGGUUUGAACGAGAAAUUACAAGUAAUAAAAGUUUGUAAAGUUUCUUGUAUCUCUUUGAAUAACCUCUCNNNNNNNNNNNNNNNNNNNNNNNNNNNNNNNNNNNNNNNNNNNNNNNNNNNNNNNNNNNNNNNNNNNNNNNNNNNNNNNNNNNNNNNNNNNNNNNNNNNNACGUUAYGUCYUAGCCWUAUGUGUUAUCUAAACCCUMMCWCWUGYUUUUCGUAGAAUUCUCGAGUUUAAGAAAGGUUGGAUGUGCAAACCAACCCGUGGUUGGAUGGUUAGGAGGACUGUGGUAUCCCCUGUCCACCAGAGUUCAAGUCUCAGACUUGACGUUGGUGCUCGCAUUUUUCUGGAUUUAUUCCAGGUAUUCCGGCGAAGUGCUUUCAGUGGGAGGAGAUGUUCCCAUCCACAGGAGUACUACGGCCGCCCCGAAGAAAUUCAUAUCGACUUUGAUGAACCCUUCCAGAUGUACAAUGACGACGCCCUCGACAAAUCGCUUAUGAGUUGCUAUUGUCUGUAAGUUUUUCAAUUCGUUGUCUACAUAUAACUUGUUUAGUUAUUUCAAUUCAUUGUCUAUAUAUAAAUUGUACUCUAUUAUGCAGAAUGAAGAUUCUGGAUUCUAAAAGUAAGAACAUCCUAAAUAUUGGGUUUAUUGACCCAGAUAAAAUACAUAUAGCGACGCUAACUGAUAAACCCAAGGAGACGGAGGAAAACCUUCUAAGGUUUCUAACAGAUCAAAAUUUCCGUGACCACAUACGGUUUCCAUACAACUUCAGGUGAGGGUCUUUACUCUGUUGUGUCCAUUCACUUAUAAGUGUAAUUGAUAAGUUACUGACAUAUAUAUAUAUAUAUAUAUAUAUAUAUAUAUAUAUAUAUAUAUAUAUAUAUAUAUAUAGUAGUAGUACGUACGUACGUACCGUUACSUUUACGGUUUACGGUUACGUUUACGGUUCGGUUACGGGUUACGUUAAACGUUAACUUAAAGGUUAAAGGUUAAAGGUAAAGGGUAAGGUACGGUAAGUACGGUUACCGCCUUACCGUUACCNNNNNNNNNNNNNNNNNNNNNNNNNNNNNNNNNNNNNNNNNNNNNNNNNNNNNNNNNNNNNNNNNNNNNNNNNNNNNNNNNNNNNNNNNNNNNNNNNNNNGUAGACCGAAUGNCAANGACAUGAUGGAUUUGCGUAACAGUUGUUCAAGCGGCGGANGGUCACGGGUGAACGGGCAACGAUCCUGUGGCGGACUUGGUAAACCUCGGGGCUCCCGGGUAAUUGCGACGANGUUCGNUCACGCCAGCGCAAAGCUUGGGUGCUAGGUCUAGGAACGGAUGCAGAUAGUUGUAUGGAUCGACAACAUCUAGAAGACUGAUCGUACUGUGCUGGAUUUUUGGUUGGUGGCUCGCUUAUAUGAUUUCCUAUUCUGAUAUCUUAGUCAUGCGGGGGUGUCAGAUAUCUAGUUUGAUGGUGUAUUCGAUCAGGGUGCUGCCCCACUUGAUUAUUUUAACGACAAUGGCUUUUUCUUUGAGAAUCUAGUUUGAAGGUCCGCAAAACUACGUAUUAGUGACGAAGCUGCAUGAACCUAGGGAGAAGAGGUGAUUCGUCGCAUGUUUUUUAUGGUUGUUGCAGCGGUGCCGAAGGCAUGCAACGAAAUUAAAGUCAUGCCGAGGGGAUUCAUCAAUUUUAAUUUUAGUUUUCUUUCUUGACUGGCGGUCCUUAUGCAAAGAUUAGCGUUCUGCUAUCUUUUCAGUUUUGUCAAGCCAUGUUUAAUGUGACUUGUACCUUGUCCUUUCUUAGAUGAAUGAAACAUGUGUUAUCAUGCAUUUUUUUUGCUAGUUCACAGUUAUGUAUCUAUAGCAACUUUUCAUGGUCUGUUUAUGCAUAAUUACACCAUACGUGCUCCGUUUCUGUUUGGCACUCCCUCGGUCCCUAAAUAUAAAUCUUUGUAAAGAUUUUUACUAUGGACUACAUACAGAGMMAAAAUGAAAGAAUCUAAUUAMYUUAAAAUAUGUUWAUAUACAUCCAUAUGUAGUUUAUAGUGAAAUCUCUAAAAAGACUUAUAUUUAGAAAACAGAGGGAGUACUAUAUGUUGCAAGUUGCAUGGCAGUGAGCUCCACAUCCAGCUAUAUAUAACCGCCAGGUCCAAUUCUGANNNNNNNNNNNNNNNNNNNNNNNNNNNNNNNNNNNNNNNNNNNNNNNNNNNNNNNNNNNNNNNNNNNNNNNNNNNNNNNNNNNNNNNNNNNNNNNNNNNNUGUGAGUAUGAAUCGNGUAUUAGNUAUUUCGCNGUGAUCCAUGUAUUUUGGAGUUUGGAGAGGGACCCUUUGGCUUUCGGUAAACUUGGGCGUCUUCAGCAACGUUUUGAGCUGUUGAUGGCAAUGGCUGGGAAAAAUUUUCGCCUGUUAUAGGGCUAUACCGAAUUGRGAACCCGUAGAAAUUAGCAUGUAACUAGGAUGAUCAUGACAUCUCUCGAAGAAAAAUUGUAUAUUCCACUCUAUUUACAGAAAUUAAUUGCACUGAUAUAUACAUGCUGGUGGGUGUCAAUGGCAUUAAAUCUUUUAAUUUGACCCAGUUAGAUUUGCAAGGAUUUUCCCAGUCAAGAAAUAUAUAUCGCGUACGCAUCCUGGAAAUACACAUAAUAGACGAAUAUUUAUUUGAAACAGCACUAAGACAUUUUCCCCCUUUCAAUAAUGCACCUUAUAUAGUUCAGUUGCGUGACAAACCAAGAGGGGAAUGUACUAUUUUCCCUCACACAUGGAUGUAAUUCUCUUGUUCAUGGUUCAGGAUAACAAAUAUCUACAUAUUUCAUCACCUGAAUAGAAGAUACCUUUCCAAACUGAAAGAGAAUGUACUAUUGGAUUUUCUAGUUCAAGAAAAGAUACAGUAGAAACUGCGUUUUCAUUAUUUAGGAAAACCAUAUAUUUCUCAAGGUGUGAACACAUAUAAUAUCCUGCAAUGGGGGCCUGAUUGUAGCAGAUGCCAUUUCUUGGUUAUAUAUUUUUAGUAUAAUUUUAAUCAUUCCACAAAUUUAGGAGCAUGCAAUCAUAACUGUUACAGACAACACUAAGAUAUAAUCCAUUGUAUAAUAUGUUUUUAAUCUGACCGUGGUGACCCACUUAAUGCCCUGAGAUGGGUGUAAUUACGUCACCCACCGGCAGAUUGUAGCCUCCUUUGUACCCACCCACCGACUGAGGGGUAGCUCCUUAAAUAUGAGUACCACGAUAUCCAACCUUUCUUCUUAAACUCGAGAAUUCUAUCAAAAGCACAUGUCAUGGUUUAGAUACACAUAUAGCUAAGAUGUACAUAAAACAUAUAAAUAACUAAUAGAUCCAGUGCAAUGGGGUGACCCCCCUCAAAGCCUGUUGGAAUGAAACAUGAACCUUUUUUAUUAUUUCUAUGAGAACUGAAACUGAAUAUAUAUACAAUUUAUUGUAUAUCUACAAAAUAUUUAUUUAGUACUUUCUACGUCCCAUAAUAUAAGAGUGUUAUAAACACUGCACUAGGUGUCACCUAUUUUAUUAUCGAGUAAAGUAAAUUCUGAAUGGUAGGAAUUUAGGCUUGGAACAAAAUGCCUCACACUUUGUCCAAUUUACAUAAUGAGUUUUGAUUCUAAUGGCUAUUUNUUGGAAAUUUGGUUUNCACUCUAGUUUUUGCCAAAUUUUCUUAGUNUCACUCUAGACUUGUAGUAUUUACUACUUUUUCGUUUACUUACUUUACUUUACGUUACGUUUUUACGUUAACUUAAAUUUAACUUACUACUAACUUUACUUACUUACCGUACGGUAACGGUAACGGUAAANNNNNNNNNNNNNNNNNNNNNNNNNNNNNNNNNNNNNNNNNNNNNNNNNNNNNNNNNNNNNNNNNNNNNNNNNNNNNNNNNNNNNNNNNNNNNNNNNNNNAAAUUGAUGAUGUGGCUUUGAAUGGUGCAUUUUGAACACAGAGAAACUAUGGAGUUCAAAUAAGUUCUAAAAAAUCGAAAAUUUCCCUUWGUAAGUACAGACGAGUUUCCGUAUGAAACCCUAAUCUWCAADAGAGAUUGUUCGUUUUGUACACGAAGUGCAUCCAGUUUUUGUCGUAACCCUCUCAACUUUCUCGCACAUGCUAUGUGGGUGAAAUGAUGAUACCAUGCCAACUUGGAACCUUUUCAGAGUUCAUUUCAAAUGCUUUUCAAUUUCAUGGUCUUAUAGCUCAAAAUAAUCAUUAAAUGCAUGCAAAAAUAACAAAUGAAGUCAGAAAGGGUUGUAAAUUGAUGAUGUGGCUUUGAAUGGUGCAUUUUGAACACAGAAAAACUAUGGAGUUCAAAUAAGUUCAAAAAAAUGUAAUCCCUUUGUAACAGACGAGUUUCCGGGACUAAAGAUUCAGCGAAACCACGUGGUGUGAGGCGCAAACACAUGGCGUGCCGCAUAUGUUAUUAGUCCCGGUUCAGGACAAAAACCGGGACUAAAGAUCUAGCGAAACCACGUGGCAUGGCGCAUAUGUUAUUAGUCCCGUUUUAGAUACGAACCGGGACUAAAGGAUUGCCUAUAUAAACCCUCCCCCUCCCACCCCUCUCGUCGUCGUCGUCGUCGUCGUCGACGUCGUGAGCAUGCAUGYCGURCGUCUUGCCACUSUASCGUACCGUUAACCGUUACCGUUACCGUUACCGUUACCNNNNNNNNNNNNNNNNNNNNNNNNNNNNNNNNNNNNNNNNNNNNNNNNNNNNNNNNNNNNNNNNNNNNNNNNNNNNNNNNNNNNNNNNNNNNNNNNNNNNCAUAGAAGUUAACAUGUCCAAAUCUAGCAUGCCAUAACCAUGAAUCAUCAUCACUCUUGGCGAGCCAACACUCCGGUUGAGAUUGAUCAAGGUUGAGGAUAUAGAGCCUGUUCUGUGUGCGAGUAACACGAGCUAGCACGUUUCGGAGGUUGUCGAAGAUCGUCAUCACUCCGUUCUCGAUAUGCACCUUGCAUCCAUUCUCGUCAAGCUUCCCAAUAGAGAUGAUGUUGUUGCGAAGCCGUGGGAUGUAGUACACUCCGGUGAGUAUGCGAUGUUCGUCUGUGAGACCCUGGAAGAGGACAGAUCCUUGCCCACAAUUCUCCACAUUUGAACCAUCACCAAACUUUACCAAGCCUUCAACAUCAUAUUCCAGCUCGAGAAAUUUCUCCUUGCAUCCCGUCAUGUGGUUACUGGCACCCGUGUCGAGAUACCACGACGCAUUGUGAUCCCCGGAUAACUUAGGUGUCACAUUCUUCUCAUGAAGUAGCACCUUCCGGCUUGGUUUCACACCCACCGUUUCAGCGAGAUCACAAACUUCGGCCAUCAGAAGACCUGGACCUUCGUCUUCCUGCUUUUGCCUAAAAUUUUUCCUGAUCUCCCGCUUGUCAGGGCCUUCCGGACACUCCUUCCNCCGGUACGGUCCGUACGUCGUCCUCCGUUACCGUUGUCGACCUGUCCGGUCCUUNUAGNNNNNNNNNNNNNNNNNNNNNNNNNNNNNNNNNNNNNNNNNNNNNNNNNNNNNNNNNNNNNNNNNNNNNNNNNNNNNNNNNNNNNNNNNNNNNNNNNNNNCGUUGGCUGCUUAAUUCGUGAGAAUAUGGAAUUUUCUUUAGCCGUGUGUAGCUUAGCGAUGUAAAAGGCAUGUCUACUGCAAGCAUUUGACUACGAUGACAUAUUUGGCCGGGCCGCUCCCCAUCUCGUAAUGGGUGCCCGCUUGUUUCAAUCCAUCGUGGGAUCAACCAAUGCAACUAUACAAAAAGCGGACUAUGCGUAGUGAGAUGCAUAUUUGCAUGCUAUAUCGGACACAUGAAGUCCCACUAGUUAUUUUUCCCAACGACAAAAAUGUUGAUAAAUUAAAUAAUUUUCCAUGAAAGCAUGCUCAGUCCGUUUGAGGUCGCAAUGUGAUAGAUUACUUGUUAUCUGAAGCAGAGUUCAAUUUUUUUCCGGGAGAACAUAGAGUUUAUCAAUGAUCCAGAUUGACACCACUCAAGAUAAAAAUAACUGGUUUGUGAAAAAGAGAUAAAAUUCACUCCAUGGCAAAAAAGAAGUUAAAACUCAAUACAAUCCAAAUCUAUUAAUACAUGUGAAUUCAAUACAAUACCAAUACAUGAACUUAGGACAGUGACGAAAUCCAUCAAGGACGUACAAACUACAAACAUGCAAUAGAUCGAUCCAUAUUUCUUUUCCACCUCUUUAUUAACCUCUUACAUUACUAUUAGAGUCUUGUAUAUGUAUUAUAUCAUAGACAAAGCACACGAAAUGAUGUCCAGAUCAUUCUUCUCUUCAUCAGUCCANACGAGAGGUUUAAAUUGUAUAUGUAAA